This 60665-nucleotide long non-coding RNA is filed under the name Vitis vinifera (wine grape). RNAcentral's name for it is "long non-coding RNA (VVIN_LNC000529)". Lineage: Eukaryota; Viridiplantae; Streptophyta; Magnoliopsida; Vitales; Vitaceae. The record is from RNAcentral.
UUGUGUGUUGGGUGUAUCCCAGAAGCCCACAUCAAAUGGAAAAUCACCCUCACCUCCCUGGAUUUGUUCAAUCAUACCAUCCAUGGGUCCCUUUUUCUGUGCUGCAGUUUCUUCUGUCCUGAGGCUUGCGAUAAGCAUCUCUCCAGAAGCCGAAAAGUCAGUUUCUUGAUCCAUUUGAGCAUGCUCAGCUAACAGGCUUUCCCACCAUAUGAUGUCAUCAUUCGGUUGUGGUGACGUGGAUCAGCUUACUGGAAGUACUUACUUGUGUGUCAAAAGUAUCCACAGCUGUAGUUUUUAGUUCAAACCUUGGCAAGGCUUUGGAGAACUUGUGAGGGUGAGGUUUUAUAGCUUUGGUUUUAGAAUGUGUUCCCUUUUUCUGUGUUGCAGUUUCUUCUGUCCAGAGGCUUGCGAUAAGCAUCUCUCCAGAAGCCGAAAAGUCAGUUUCUUGAUCCAUUUGAGCAUGCUCAGCUAACAGGCUUUCCCACCAUAUGAUGUCAUCAUUCGGUUGUGGUGACGUGGAUGAUGGCUUACUGGAAGUACUUACUUGUGUGUCAAAAGUAUCCACAGCUGUAGUUUUUAGUUCAAACCUUGGCAAGGCUUUGGAGAACUUGUGAGGGUGAGGCUUUAUAGCUUUGGUUUUAGAAUGUGUUUGGGGUUUUUUUCUCCCUUCUUCCUGGAACUGAACCUUCUUUUUCAGGUGGUGACCAUGCCAAUAGUUCUUGACAUCAUUAGCAGUCCUCCCUGGAAGCCUACCCGCAAUCAAGGACCAUCUAUACACGCACAACAUCAGACAAAGUAUCAACUGAACAGCUCUUUUGUAAGUUCUGAACAGCUUCAGAACUAAUAUAAUAUCAUUAUCAAGCUAGUACUUGAGUUAUUAUAGACUUGCCUGUUCCCCAACAAAUUGUGAAGCCUAAUCAUGAGAUCAACCUCGUCUAAUGCAAACUCUCCUCUCUUGAUAUCUGGCUUCAAAUAAUUGAGCCAUCUCAAUCUGCAGCUCUUUAGGCAUCUAUUCAACCCUGCAAACUCAAGAAAACGAAACUCUUUAAGCAAAACAGAAGUAAAAAAAACACAAAUUAAUACUGAUCCCUUUCUCUUUCAUGUCACCUGCUCGGAGGGGAACCAGAUGCCACUUUCCUUCUCCAUAUUUCUCAAUGCAUUUCCUCAGGAGAACAUCCUCUUCUUGGGUCCAUGCACCCUUUCUAACUCCUAAGCUCUUCAUCGAGUCAACUCAACACAAGAGACCGGCUCCUUCUCUAAUUAUUGAUUGAUAUAUAACAACCUCGAACCUGUUCUAUCUCAUGACUCGGACACCAGACCCCUAAUUGGUUGAUUCGACACGUUUCUUAUGGUGCAUUACCUGGCUUCCGAAUGCGAUGGACAUCAUGGACAAAGGGUGUGUGUCAUAAGAGAUAUUUACCCAUUAUGUAUCAACUUACUAUAAAUGUACAGCGAAAUUUAGGAAUUAAUUGCUGACUAGUAUCCUUUAUGAACAAUCUCUAUUUUGUGGUGCAAAUGUAUAAACUGGUGUGAUCCCGAAGACAACCACGUGCUACCAUAUUUUAAUGUCCAGAGGAAUUCAUUUGGACAUUGGUAGGAUGAAUGGGACAUUACGUAGAAGAUUUGGAUUCUGAUACCACUGUUUCCUUGACAAAAAGCAACCAAGUGAUGGGAACCUUUGAGGGCCACCGCUCCUCUUUCAACUUUAACAUUUUCUUUUGUCGACUAACCCAUGUUCACUGAAAAGGGAAGCUCCAUGGGUCCUCUACCAUUAUAUUAUGGCCGCUAUGCAGUGGCAGCAGCUAAUUCAUGGGAAUUGUCAGCGAAGAAAGGUACAAUCAUUAGGAUAUGCCUCUGGCUCGCGGAGGACUUUGUUUCUGACCAGUAACGUCGAUAAAAAUACAUUUUAGAACUUUUUCUAUUGUCAAUUCAAUGACCGGGUUCAUUCUCAACCAUCCAUCUGUUGCUUGGGACGUGUGUCAUUUCCUACAAUGUACUCUCCUCACUGACAAUUAUUUUCCCUCAAAUAUAUACAAGUAUAAAAAUUUGCAUAUAAAUUAAAAUUGUUUUAAAAUUUGAAAAAUGAUGGAAAUUGAUAAAAGUAUAAAAAUUUCACCUGAACCUUUGAAAUUUUUUGAUAAAAUAAGUAAUGUGUAGAUAUUAAAUUAUUAUAUUUUAAAAAAAUUAAUAAAAUAACAAAUAUGAGUUUUCAAGUGAAUAUUUUGAUUAGUAGUGUUAAGAAAAAAAAUUUGUUAUUGUUAAUAAAAAUAGAAGAAAGUUAUGAUUUUGCACACCAGUAAUUCCUUAAUUCUGCAUGCAUCAUUUUCUCCAAAGACCUUUUGACAUUAAAGAAGGAAAAAAGAAAAAGAAAAAAAAAGAGCUUAAUAUAGAGGCAGCAAUAAGAUAUCUUAUUGAAGAAGACGUUUUUAGACUUAUGUGGGAACAUUAUAGGCUUUAAUGAAAUUUUUAUAAUAUCAUUUUUAUCUUCUUUUUUUCUUAAUUAAAAAAAGUUGUUAUUCCAAAUAUAUCAUUUUCUAAACCUAAACUAUUUAAUCGGCGUGUAUUAUUGGUUUAAUGCGAAUUAAAAACCAAAGUUCCUUCAUUUUUUAUUGCUUUAAUGUGGAAUGUAAAAAAAUUAAUUGGUUAAAAGAGAUUCAAUACUCCUCGUAUUUGUGAAUUUAUCGCUUCCUUCUUUUUACUUGAAAAAUAACAUAUUUUUUAUUAUAUAAAUGUCACUUAUCAUCUCAAGUAUUUAUACAUAAUUUUAAGAGAAAUGAUUAUUUUUAUAAGAAAAAAGUGAGGAUAUUUAUACCAAAACGAAGCCAAAAAAGAAUGGAGGGUUAAACCCUAUUUGGUAACUAUUUUUUAAAACCGUUCUAAAAAAUAGUUUUUGAAAAUUAUUUUAUAAUUUUUUAUAAAAUAAAAGUCGGUUUGAAAACCUAAAAUAUUUUUAACAUAUUUUAAUAUUUUUAAAAAUAACAUUUUAUAUCCAAUGUUUUAUUUUUAAAUUAUAUUAUAUGUUUGUAUAAUUAUUUUUUAAAAUAAUUUUUUAAAAAUAAAUAAAAAUAAUAUAAAACAAUUAAAAUAUGUUAUAUAAAAAGACUUUAUUAUAUAUUCUUAGAAACAUAAAACAAAAAAAAAAAAUUCUAGUUGUAAGACUGUAGACCCCUUUUGUGGUGAGGGCCCGGAGAGUUGUUAUUUCUUUCCUUUUCAUUAUAUCCUUGGAAGGGGGGACCUCCCUGAAAGCAGCUGCAUGGUUUGUGGUGAGGCCCCGUGAGAGUUGUUAUUUCUUUCCUUUUCAUUAUAUCCUUGGAAGGGGGGACCUCCCUGAAAGCAGCUGCAUGGACGUGUAGCAAGAGAGGAUGGUUGGCCAUGGUGGUGGGUGAAUAUGACGGAUUGGCGGAAUGGUGCACAGUGGAGCGGGUGAUGGCUUGCUGCAGAAGACAGGAACAGGGGGGAGGAGAUAUUUAGCUGAAAUUUUCCUUUGGCUUGACGGGGGGGAAGACCUUUUUUUCGUGAGGCUUUUGAGAAGAAAACCAGAGGUGUGCUGAGAAGGAGGGGCCUCAACAAGGAGAAACCGGAGGAAGGGGAGAGCUUUCCAGGGACCGUGAGAAAGAAGCAGGGGAGGAAUCGCUCAGGUUUGAUCAUACCUUACCUUGUGUUCUUCACCUUUCUUUUAUCUCAUUUUAUUUUGAUGGUCACACUAAUGCUUCUAGUUGAUGUUUGGAUGCUUGCUCUGAUCAUUUAAUGUGUUAAAUCUGCUUCUUGUUUUCGUUUGCUGGGUCUCUGUCUUCCCUUGUAUGAGCUGUGUGAUUAUUAUGCUGUUUGUCUAUGUGAUAAGACCAUUCGGACCCUCUCACCAGCUUCUUUUGAAAGCUCCUUAAUUUUCAUCAAAAUGGGGCUUGGAUUUAACGGCAUCAUCUUCUCUUCUAUAUACUCUGUUUUUUUUUUUUUAUCACUAUCAUCCCUGUUUCUGGCAUUUUGGAGUGUUGAACAUCAUGUCGAAUCUGGCGAAAUCAGACCGUCUUCGCUUCACACCGUUUAUGAUCUCAGCCAUGAGGAGUGUUGCUAACAUUCAGGUAUGAAAGAGAGUGAUGUAAGGAGUGGCCAUGGGCGACGUUAUGAAGCCAAGAAAUAAUCCUGAGCUAGCCAAUUUUAAAACAGUCCUAACUCUGGGACGGUUGGGUAUGUAUAUGGUAUGGCGUUCUUCAUUAUUGAUCUACUAGCCUAGGCAAUUUAGAUUAUGGCCAAGUGUUCUGAUAGAGAUGGAGAAGCUAUAAGGCUGCCAGAGGACCAAUUCCAAAAGAUGGAAAAUCAUGCUCUGAACGAAGAGCCGCUGUAUGCUUUUAGAUUGAGUUGUGGAGCUGCAGAUACAUAAACAGAGGGCUGCGGAGGAAUUAUCAUCAUGUAAGAAGCUUCCCGACUUGCCUCAGAAUCAAUCAUCAAGCAAAGCCCUGCCAAAUUUAGAGAGAGUGGAAUCACUUGUACAGGUGAACCUUUCCAACAAUCAUUUGCAUGGCAGUUUACCUUCCACCAGAGCAUUCUUCGCCAUCAAUUCGAGCUUAGUCUCAGGAAACAAUCCUUGUGGUGGGGACACUGCAAGUGAGCCACCACCAUGCAAGAGGUUAAAAAUCCCAGUUGGAGGGUUCUUCGUCACUUGUCUCCUAGUUGUUUCGGUGGUGCUCACUCUUGCUGUUUUUGCCGCUGUGUUCAUCCUACACCGAGAUGGGUCAGAGCUCAAGAGGGUAGAACAUGAAGAUGGGAUGUGGGAAAUGCAGUCCUUUGAUUCCAAAGUCUCAAAAUCGAUCACAAUCCAAAGCAUACUGCCGUUUAUAAUAGAAAAUAAUGUGAUUUCAUACAAGGAAAAGAUUAAAAUGGUGAGACGGCCUCCCUUACAGCUUUGAUGAAUCGACUUGUUAUUCAUCUAAAAAAGGCUCAUGGAUCAGAAUCCUAUGAGACCAUCUAUAGUGUAUCUUCUGAAAUUGUCAUAAGAGGUCCAGGCCCACUUUUGCAUGGUGCGCCUCCCAAAUACCCCACUUACCCAUCUUUUUGUUCCCGCCACCUUUCCUUUCUCUAUCACCACAUGCAUCUCUCAAGCCCACCAUGCCCAUAUUUCACACCCACUGAACCCAUGUUUCUCUCAUCACCCCUCAUCCGAUCCCACACGAGCUCACCACCUUCAUGUGUUCAUUCCUCACUCAUACAUGUAUGGAACCAUGCAUCCAUGGCUGCCCAUCAUUCCCACUCCCGUCUCGUGCCAACUGCCCAAGCCAUUCCACUUCAUCACCUUUCCACCCCCCAUGCUUGCCACAUUCAUUUCUUCCAACACCCUUUAAACUCACUCCAUCCGCCACCCAUUUAACCCCAUUGCAAACAUGGCCACCUCAUACCCAUUUCUCUUACUCAUAAUUCCAUUCAACACUUCCCAACUCACCCCGUUUCCCCGCCAUCUCUCAAUAUUCCUUAACCCAUUUAUCUCAUUAUCCCCUCCACCAUGUAACCCACUGUCUUCAUGCCCCGCUAAUCCCAUACCCGUCACCACUUUCUCUCUCUCUCUAAAUCUUCAUCCAUACCCAUUUCUCUCACUCACUACCUUUCCGUUCUUUCCAAACCCACAAAACCAUCUCAUCCCGCCACCUUCCAUCCUCCGUUCCGCCAAUAACCACCCGAAGACUAAGAAGAUUCUACAGUUCCAGCGCUCGAGACAAAUAAUUACUGGCGUCUUUUCCGAAAGAGAACAAGACAAUAAUGAGUAUGCUGCACGGGUUGAUCCCUAUGUGACAUGCGGGUAUCCUAUUUUAAGGGGUGUCUAGGAAUUGAUUUGCAAGCCAGGAUACAUAUCCGCCACAGCGAAGUGCCUGGCUUACGUCAUUUGCAUCACAAGACAAUCAUGAGAUGCGAGUAUCGUUUGCAUUGGAGUGAAGUGUACUCUCCAUAAUUGGUGCUCUUGGAAGUAUACCUACGAGAUGAAGCAGAUAUAUUAUCUGUUUUAUUUGUGUUAAAGUAUAUUAUAUUAUGGGCUAUAGGCCCAAUUAGGUUAUUUGUAUAGUACUUGUACUAUACACUUGUAUCGCACAGUAUUUGUACUGCACACUUGUACCGCACCCUUGUACUGCACCCUUGUACUAUACACAUAUGCCUCCUAUAUAAAGACACUGAUGUAUAUUCUUUUAAUCACAUAAUAGAAUACAAUUAUUCUAUAUUUCUAACAUGGUAUCAGAGCCACUGUUCUGAACUUUUUUUUUUUUCUUAGCAGUCUUGUUUUCAUUAGUGUGACUUCCUUCUUUCACUAAGUCAUCCCGUCGUCGUCCUUGGGUUCCGGACCUGCAGCUGCCAUCGUUAAGAAGUUUCACACUGCACAGACCACUGCCCUUUGCAUCACCGCUGCGAAUAUUGCUCCGAUUUCAUUUUUGAAGGUACCAUUGAGAUCGUCCAGCGCCGAUCUACACAGUACUUGUACUGCACACUUGUACCGCACCCUUGUACUACACCCUUGUACUACACACAUAUGCCUCCUAUAUAAAGGCAUUGAUGUAUAUUCUUUUAAUCAUAUAAUAGAAUAUAAUUAUUCUAUAUUUCUAACAAUUUGAUAAUGGAUAAAAUCAUGGUGACUUUGUGGUCUACUCCAUCGAGAAGUCCUCUCAAGAGAUAGGGUCGUCUUAUGAAGGCACGUCGGAUUUUGACGGUGUAAGAGUUGCUGCAUGGAUAGUGCUGUCCAUCUCAAUUCCACUUUCAGAAGCUCGGAAGGUUUGCGGCAUGCUAUCUAGAAUUCUUCAUCGCUCUUGUCGUGGGAUUGAUUGGCUUCAAAGAGAUUGAAUUCUUCCUCUUGAGUUAGACAGGUUGCUCAGGCAGGAGGCUAUCUUGUCUGCUCCCCUCUUGGAGCCUAUACACAGGAUGAGGACGACCUUAGAAUACAGAGGGAAAUGGUUGUCCUUGCGGAAUGCAUAUGUUGGAGAAUAGCUGUAAAAAAGGAAUCAAACCGUCAUUUGGCAGAAACCUCUGACCAAUGGUUGUCACAAGGAGCGAACGCCUGUUACUCGGCCUCCAGCAUGGAUGAUGCGCUAAGCUGGAAGGUACAUGGCUGUUUACAAAAAACUUGCAGAGAAAUACCCCCUCCUUCAGACAGAGAGGAGGUGAGAGGCCCUGUUAUCCAUUCUCCAAUUCGCUCCGAGGAAGGAGGUGGGGGGACAAGCUGCUGUUCCGGGUUUUGUGGGAGUACCUUGAACAAUGGGGACAUGUAUAGUGGAAGGCGGUACAACUCGGGCACAUACGAUCAUAAAAAGCGUGUGUCAUACAACACCAAAUGUAUUGAGGGCUUUUCUUUCUCAUUUGACGCUUGUAAUAUCUGAAUACAUUGUUUUCUAAGUUGAAUCUGGGGCCCACUGUAUUCAAAUAUUUGACUCUUGGGGUGGUCAACUACCGCCUGAUAUGGGGGAGUGCUGGUCAAAACCCUAUAUUGGAAGAGUUGAGGUAGAAGAAGAUGGUGAUAUCGGCAUCAGAGCUACGAAGGAGGGUUUAGGGCUCCAAGCAGCUGGAUCGGAUAGCUUCAGGGCUGACUUAUGCUGGAAUGGGAUGCAGGGGUCCACAAGGAAAGAGAUAUUUUAUACCAUCUGGACCCACAACAGUCAUUGGUAUUCCAUAUUCGACCACCAUUGCACAAGACCCCUUGCAUGGCCACCUUUUGAUAGGCCAUCAUCAAAACCCGUGGCUCCCCUCCUUUUAUUUUCAUGCAAACCUCCAGAACCUGAUUUUCGAGGAUCAUCGUUUUUUUUUACGUGAUUUUAAUUCUUCACUUUUUUUCUCUUUUUCUUGAUUCUAGGUACCAUUUUCAACUAGACUUGCCUAUUUUCGUUCAGUUUAUUUAUUUAUUCAUUUAUUGCUAUUAUUAUUAUUAUUAUUAUUUUCAUUUUUUGUUUUCAUCCUUGUUUUUAUUUUUAUUUCCUAUCCUUGACUUUAGAUAUUUUCCAUUCUUUAAUAAAUUUGGUAGCCACAUUCCUUCUCGACCAAUAUCUUUCAUAAAUCCUCUUUUAUUUUUAAUGAUUUUCUAAUUUUCACGUUUAAUAAGCCAAGAUUUAAUUUUGUGAUUCCAAUUAAUGGAAUUUACGAAAUUAAUUCAUUGCUAAAAUAAAUUAGGUUUUGAUGGGAGCCUCACAUGUGAUUUUAUAAUUGAUUGAUCGUUUGAUUGAUUUGAUUGUUAUGCAUGAUCGAUCUAUUAUGUUCUAAGACAUGCAUGAUAUUGUUCCUUAAUUGUGUACUAACCCUCUCUCUUAAUAGCGCAUGGUAACUCAUUGUCCAGUUACGUACCCACUUUCACUCUGAUCAGUGUCUACGCAUUUUCUGGUUCUCACAUGUGCAUGUUUUAUUCUAAGUAUUCAUUGAUUCACUCAUCCAUUAUCAUGAUUACUUCAUCUCAUUAGUAGAGACCCGGUUUUAAGGAUUUAGAGGGGUGUUACGGUCUUUACCGUACCUUCCCAAUAAGUAACCUGACCUCCGAGCCUGACCUGAUUUUUCACAGACUACCUUUUCCAAAAUAAAGAGUCACACUUAGGGUCUUCUUUUUUAUUUUGUUUACCCUUUUAAAAAUAAAACAAAAAUAAGUGGCGACUCCAAGUCAUUUUCCAAUAAACAAAGUCAUUUUUAAAAUAAGAAUUGAGUUCGCCAUCGAGUAAAAAACGUAUGAGCCGAAACAUGGGGUCCACACAAAUAUAUUUUCGUGUUUUUUUAUUUUAAAUAAUAAAAAGUUAUUCUAAAAAACCAUGCUAAGCAAAUUCUUAAAUUUCCGAAAAAACAAAAAACAUAUAAGGUUACCAAGAAAAUUUUUUAUGAGACUUCUAAGUUUUCAAUGAAGAACCAGAUUGAGACUUCAAUUAAAAAAUAGAAUCUUAAUUGACAAUUAUAACUUUAAUUUAAAAACGAAGUAUCAAUUGAUAAUUAUGACUUCAAUUCAAAAACCGAAGUCUUAAUUAAUAAAUAUACCUUUAGUUCAAAAAUAAAGUCUCAACUGUAAUUGUAAUGAGAUCUUAACUAUAUGUUUUAAAAAAUAUAUAUUUUUGAGAUGCUCGUAUGCGGCACUUAAGAGACCAACAUAAAUUUUAUAAAGUAGUUAGAUAUGGGACAUUUUGGCCCAAAACUCCAGCAAGUAGCACCUCUGUUUUGUGCUGGGUACUGGACCAGACGACAGUGGUCAAAGCUGACUGUGACCUGGGCCCACAGGCUAAUUUUAAGCUGCACUCGUGACCAGCGCUUCCAGCGUGCUGGGUCAGACGAGGCAGCGGUGGUGAAAGUGGGCUGUGAGCUGGGCCCACAAACCAAUUUUGUGAAAAUCCAGAAGGUGAAAAUCGGUGACGUGGCACCGACAUGUUCCAAACCGUCGACGUUUUCAUCACUGAAUUUUCCAGCACUUCAGCCAUAAUUUCCAAGUACAUGUACAAGUUUUUAGGUAAAUUAAUUGUCGAACAUAUGAGAGUAUAAGUUUUGGAGCAAAUGAGUUGUACAACAUGUCAGAGCCUCAGUGGAAGGGAAGAGGGUUUAUAUAUUCAAAUAUUACUUAUAUUUAUUUUCUUAAUUUAUUAAACUUAAAAAUAAGAUAUUAUUUAAAAUUUUCUAAUGAAUUUUUUAUUUAUUAUUUAAUUACUUAAAUUAAUUUUUAUUUAUUUUUUUAAAUUAUAGAAUUAAAACUUUUUAUUUAAAUAUUGUUUAAUAAAUUUAAAAUUUAUUUUAAAUUAUCAAAUUUAUGGUUAAACAUAAAUAUUUAAAGUAUUAUAAAUACAUAAAAUAUAAUAGAUUUAUUAGAAAAAAAAUAAAUUAUUGAUGUGAAAUCAUGAUUAUAAAAUAUGCUAUUAUGUAGCAAAUAAGAUAAAAAAAAGAUUUGAAAUUAAGGAAAAAAAACUAUUUUGCCUUAAUAUUUGAAGUUAAAAAAAAAAAAAAACUGUAAUAUUGUUAUUUAAUUACUGAUAUGUGUUUGAAUGCCUAUCUCCUUAAUUUAUUAAGCUUAAAAGAAGUUAUUUGUUUUCUCUGUAAUCUCAAAAGAGACUACAAAAGAGUAUUAAAGUACUUGAUAUAAAUGAUAACUCAAGUCCUAUGAGCUUAAGUAUUCAGAUUAUAUUAAGGUGGUGUUUAUUUUUUUACUUAAUUCUAAAUAGAAAUUUAAUGCUUAAUAGUGUUAAAUAUUAGAUUGUUUAUUUUUAUAGUAUUUUAUUUCUAUUAAGUAUUAAAAAAUAAAAAAAAAUUAAUAUAUUAUUUUUUCUAUUUAAAAAAAAUUAAAUAUUUUGAUUUUUUCUAUUCAAUAAAAAAUUUAUAAUAAGUUAUAAAAAAAUAGAAAAAUAAAUAACCUAAAUUGUGAAAACAAUUUCCUUUCAAUAAUAAACAAAAGGGUAUUAGAGUACGCUAGCUAUCUAGAUAAUAAACUCAAGUCCUACGAGCUUAAAUAUUUAGGUUAUGCCUCAUCGUUGAAUUUUAUCUCAGAAUUUCCCAUGAUUCUUGCAAUAUAACCUGAAUAGUGCAGGUGUGAAGACAUGUAUGGCCCGGUAACUUUUGCUAUUUGUAGUCCUUAAUUAUAUAAUCAGAAUAAAAAUGCGUUAAAUUAAUCAAAUAUUAACUAGGGAGUAUGACAUUACACAAAAGUACGUGGGGAGGGAAGUAACUUGAUAUAAAACUGAUGAAAUCUCAGAUGCUCAUUUAUAUCAUGGCUUCUCCAAUGAGGCCCAUUUCAAAAGGAAAAUCAAAAUUCCCACCUCCAUUGGUAUCUACAGCUGAUGCAGUUUCGUCAGCCAGGAGGCUGGCAAUAAGCUCCUGAUCUUCAAUGGUAUGGUCAGCGAAUAGGCUUUCCCACCAUAAAAUAUCCUGGUUUGGUUGGACCAGUGUGGGUUGCAGCUCACUACAAGUACUGCCUUGUGUCUCAGAAGCAUCCACAGCUGUAGUUUUGAAUGUGAACCCUAGAAAGAGUUUGCAAGGCUUAGGCUUUAUCAGAGUGUUUUCAGAAUUGGUUUGGGCUUUAUCUUUCCCUUUUUCCUGGAUGGGAACCAUCUUCUUGAAGCGAUGAUGGUGCCAGUAAUUCUUGACAUCAUUCGCAGUCCUCCCUGGAAGUCUGCCGGCAAUCAAGGACCAUCUGGAAAAACAUAGCUACAAUUUUUUUAAAAGUGUUGAAUUAAAAUGAUCUUAUUUGAGUUUCUAAUUCAUGGAGGCGUUGUUUCUUUAACCAUCAGCUCCAGAAUUUGGUUUGGGUUAAGGAUCAGACAAGGAAAAAAAUUAAGGGAAGGUAGGUACAAUUCUUUUUUCUUUGCAAGUGAAAAAGCUUAAUUGAUUAAGCUUCUUUUCUUAUUUUACUUCAAUUUUUUUCUUUCAUUUUCCUCGUAUUUUCUCAGGAUUCAAUCCAAACUUGUAUCUCUAUUACCAAUCUAACAGUGGCUAUACUAAAUGUAAUAGGAAAUUAAUAAAUAAACUUGCCUGUUUCCCAACAGCUUAUGAAGUCUAAUCAUGAGAUCGACUUCAUCUGAUGCAAAUUUUCCUCUCUUAAUAUUUGGCUUUAAAUAGUUGAACCAUCUCAAUCUACAGCUUUUGCGGCAUCUACUCAAACCUGAAAAGGCAACUCUUCCAGUUAGGAAUAUUUAUUUAAGCAGGAAAAAAGUUUGCAGGCUUCCUCUCAUACGUAUAUAUUACCUGCUCGGAGUGGAACCAAAUGCCAUUUUUCUUCUCCAUAUUUCUCAACACAUUUUCUUAAAAGAAAAUCUUCUUCCCGAGUCCAUUUUCCCUUUCUAACUCCCAAACUCUCCAUAGCUUUUCCUCAACUCUACGUAGAACAUAUGCAACUUGUCCGAUUAAUUUAAACACUUGGUAUGUACUUCUUAUGAUUUGCGUGCUUUCAUUCCAACCACAGAACUCCAAGUAGUACUGAUUCUUAAUUAAGUGACAUGAGCUGGUUGGUAGCCUUAGUAACAACAGUGUAACAGCCACUUCAGUUUAAACGUGCAGUCAUUCUUAAGCCACAUAAGCCUUAGUAACAAUUCAAGCGUGUAAUUAUAUAUAUAUACACACAACUUGGGAUGUACUUCAUAUGACUUACGAUGCUUGUAUUCCAACCACAGGUCCCUAAGUACGGAUUCUUAAGUGACCCAAUGUUUUUUUUUUAUUCAUUUGAUGUGGAAUACAAAAGAAUUAAUUGAUUAAAAGAAAUUAAAUAAUCAUUAUAUUUAUAAAUUUAAUCAUUCCUUGAUUUUACUUGAAAAAUAAUAUAUUAUUGACAUAAAUGUCACUUAUCAUUUCAAGUAUUUAUAUAUAGUUUUAAAUGAAAUAAUUGUUUUUACAAGAAAAAAAAAAGAUACUUUUAUAAAAUGAAAAAAAAUUAAGGUUAAAUUUAUAAAUUUGAGUUUUUAAUGACCCUUCUAAUCAAAUACUCUAAUACAAAGUCAUCUGUUAUCAUUUCCUCUCUACAACUUCAGGUUUGUGCAUCCUGACUUUGUAGUCUCGAAUAUAGGCAUUAGAUAUCUUAUUUCUAGUCUUAGAUUUAGGUAUAAGGUUGGAAUUAUGAUAAGUGUUAAGUUUCUGGGAUUUGUUAAGGAGAUUUGCACAAUAUUUGUAGAGUUAUUAUUAUUAUUAUUAUUAUUAUUAUCUUGGUUUUUGUUUGCUUGAAUUAUUUGAUUGAUUGGUCAUACCUAGCUUUCUAGCAAGUUUGUUUCUAGUACGGUCGUUUUACCACUCUAGAGACAUGCGGGCAAGACAUAAAAGUUCUAGAUAUUCUUCGAAAUCUGUAUUGCAAUAUCAGGUUGAACAUUAAACAAAGAGAUAGUCACUGCAAUAGUAAGUGUGUGCUGACCAACGUUUUAAAAAUCCAAUCGGACCAGCUGGUCCGAUCGGUCUGACCGUUGAUCGGUCAUCAGUCCAGUUCGAUUCACCCCUUUGAACCGGCCAACCUCUGAACUGUCAUCGAACCGACGGACAGAUUGGUCCGACCAAUUUUUAUUGAACCGAACAAUUCAAAUGAAUUUUUUCCUUGGCUUCCAAAAUGAUGUCUUCCCUUUCUUCUUCGUUCUUCCAGAACGUUCUCCCCCGCCCACAGUUGACCGUGACUCAGUUGACCGUGACUCAAAAUACAUUCCAACAACUGAUGAAGAUGAGGAAGUAGAGUAUGAAUGCAAGAACAACAUUUGAACUUAACCCCAAAGAUUGAAAUUGUCUAAAUCAGAUCAAAUGAUUUACUUGUGUUGGGUGUAUCCCAAAAGCCCACAUCAAAUGGAAAAUCACCCUCACCUCCCUGGACUUGUUCCACCAUGCCAUCCAUGGUUCCCUUUGUCUCUGUUGCAGUUUGUUCGGCCCAGAGGCUUGAGAUACGCUCCCCUCCAGAGCUACAAAUCGAAAAGUCAGUUUCUUGAUCCAUUUGGGCAUGCCCAGAUAACAGGCUUUCCCACCAUGCAAUAUCAUCAUUUGGCUGUGGUAACUUGGAUGAUGGCUUACUAGAUGUACUUGUUAUUUCCACAUUAAAAUUAAGUGGGUGGCCCACUAACCUAGUAUUUAGCCGAUUAAAAGAAUACCUAAAAUAUUUAAACUGUUAUAAAGAUAUUUACCCUUUGAUGGAGUGGGUAAAUUAUUAUAAUAAUAAUAUUAUUAUUUGGAAUAAAAAACAGUUAUUCGAUCGAAUAACACGUUCAUAAUGGUUUUUGAACGUGUAUUCUUGACCCUCUUCUCUUAUCAAUAAGAUAUAUAUACAGAAACCCCUUCAUGUGCGGUGAGUGCUCUCUUCCAUCAAUUACAGAAAACAAUUCUGUGUAUUAAAGUUUGAUAAGGAGAAGAAGAGAUCAAGGAUUUAAGAUCUAUAAACUGAAGGGAAAUCUCUCAUAGCUGCGUGUUCUUCAAACGGUAUGUAAUCUAUUUUAAUUAAUGUUUUUAUUAUUUUAUUUUUCAGAGAUGAGUUUGAAUUCAAUGAUCUGGAAUAUUGUGUGUUAAUUUCUGUGUUAAAUGUCAACAAUUGGUAUCAGAGCAAGGUUGAAUUCAAAUAUUCAGAAUCAUUGUUUUAUAAAGAUUAAAUUUUGAGAUUUAUCAUCGAUUAAUUCGUCUCACUAAAAUGAAUAAAAAAAAUAAUAAUUAAACAAAAUAAAGACCAGCCUCAAUGCGUAGAAGGAAGAUUUUUAUUUUUCCUUGCAACGCCGAUUGGAGCAAUGCCGGUGAGGGGCGCUGGUUUGGCCGACUGGUUUGGCGUUAGUCCGGUGGCCGGUUUCAGGCGCCAGUCAAGGCGCCAUUGCCUGCGCCAUUGAAGGUGCCAUCUCACUGUUUUCAGGCGCCAAUCCAGGCGCCAUUGAAGGCGCCAUCUCGACGUUUUCACGCGCCAGUCUAGAUGCCAUUGCCGGCGCCAUUGAAGGUGUCGUUUCUCCAGCUUUCCGACGGCAGUGAAGGCGCCGUUUUCAGGCGCCAUCUCCAGGCAUCAGGCGCCGUUUCUCAGGCGCCAUUAGAGGCGCUGGUUGCAGGCGCCGUUUCUCAGGCACCAUUAGAGGCGCUAUUUGCAGGUGUCGUUUCCUUCUUCAAGGGCCAUUGGAGGCGCCGUUUGCAGCGCCGUUUCAGGCGCUCUUCAGGCGCCACUUUUCAGGCUCUCCAAAAGUGCCAUUUCAGGCGCUAAUCCAAAGAUCUUAAUUGAUUUAUUAUUUGAUUUGAGUCUGAACCUUUGUGAAAUUAUUAUUAUGUCUGAGGAAUGCAAGUAUUAGCUUUAGUAUAUUCAAUGAAUGCAGAUUUCUUUGAUUUUAUUAUGAUUGAUUAUUGAAUCAGAUGGUUAUUAAACAUACUAUUUCCUUGAUUUUUUAACUCAAAUAAAAGAAUUAAUUUCAUCUUGUGAAUAUUUUAUCUAAAGACAAUUUAUAAAUGUAAGGUUAACUAGUUUAGAUUAUUGCCAAAGCAACCUAAAUUAGUGAGCCUUGUAUUUAUUGAAUUGCAUAAAAGAAUAAAGGGAGACUUGUAAAAUUCUUAAUAAUUCUCUUUAUAAUUAGGAGAAUGAGACUAACCCAAAGGAGAGUCAAUUUCUGCUAAUUAUUAAUUAAUGUUUUAUUUUGUGUUGCUUAGAAAGGUAAAAUGGAUACCCAAAGGUAACAUAUAAAUGACACAAAAUAGUAAAGUAUUUUAAGCUCCCUCCAAGUGAACACUGGAUAUGUUAAAAUUUACCCAAAGGAGAAUUUUAAUGAUAUCAAUAGUUCAUUGCUAUUUAUUUUAUACUUGAGGCCUUAUUGUGAGCAUUGUUCUAUUUUGUACAGUUCCCACUUCAUUACACUCUCUUGCAUCUGGAAUGGCUGUUUUUGAUGGGUCGAACUUUUCUGAAUGGUAUGAAACAAUUCUCACUGGGCGUAUUGGAUCUUGACCUGGCUUUAAUAACGGAUAAACCUCCUGAAGCUACGGAUGACAGUACUCCGGAGCAGGUGGAACAAUUAAAAGCCUGGGCAAGAUCCAACAUACUCAGUUUUAUGUUUAUGAGAAUGAUUAUUGCCAAUAAUAUCAAGACCUCUCUCCCUCAAACCGAGUUUGCCUCGGAAUUUCUGAAAUCUGUUGAAGAGUGCUUCAAACGCGCUGAUAAGUCCCUUGCAGGCACAUUGAUGGCUGAAUUGACUACCAUGAAAUAUGAUGGUCAGAAAGGUAUUCAGCAACAUAUUUUAAACAUGACUGAAAAAGUUGCAAAGCUUAAGGCGCUAGGCAUGGGUAUGGAUGAGUCCUUCUUGGUACAGUUUGUCCUUAACUCACUUCCAUCACAGUUUGCUCCAUUCAAAAUCCACUAUAAUACUAACAGUGAUCAGUGGAACUUGAAUGAGCUCACCAGUAAAUGCAUACAAAAGGAAGUGAGAUUAAGACAAGAAGGACAUAAUCUUGCCCUUGCUGUAACUCAUGGAGUCAUGAAGAAGAAAGGAAAAUUCAGAAAAGGAAAGAAGUUUCCACCUAAGAAAAGCGGACCUGGGGAAGGUAGCCAGAGUCAUGAUGGAAAAUUCACGGUAAGUUGCUACUUUUGUGGCAAGAAAGGGCAUGUGAAGAAGGACUGUAACAAGCGUAAGGCUUGGUUCGAAAAGAGAUGUAUAAAUCUUUCUUUUGUAUGUUAUGAAUCCAAUCUUGCUGAAGUUCCUUCAAAUACUUGGUGGAUUGAUUCUGGAGCCACAACUCAUGUGACUAAUUUAAUGCAGGGAUUCUUUACAACUAGGAAACUAAAGGAAAGUGAAAAGUUCCUCGAUAUGGGAAACCGUCUCAAGGUUGAAGUGGUAGCUGUUGGUACCUAUCGCUUACUAUUAGAGACGAGUCAUCGGAUGGAUCUUUUAAACACUUUUUAUGUACCUUCUAUCUUUAGGAAUUUAGUUUCCUUGUCCAAAUUAGAUGCUACUGGAUAUUCUGUUUUAUUCAGUUUUGGACAAUUAAGUUUGUUGUUAAAUUCUGUUACAGUUGGUUCUAGUAUUUUAUGUGAUGGUUUAUAUAAAAUUUCCUUGAAUCAUGAAUUUGCACAAGCCUUGAUAACCCUGCAUUCAAAUGUUGGUUCAAAACGUGGCUUAAUUAAUGAAAAUUCUUCAAUCUUGUGGCACAGAAGACUAGGGCACAUCUCUAGGGAAAGAAUUGAGAGAUUAGUGAAGGAAGGAAUUUUACAAAAUCUUGACUUAACUGAUUUUCAUGUAUGUGUGGAUUGCAUAAAGGGAAAGCAAACUAAACAUACAAAGAAAUGUGCCACAAGAAGUAAUGAGCUUCUUGAGAUAAUUCAUAUAGAUAUUUGUGGACCACUCUCUGUUCCAUGUUUUACAGGAGAGAAAUAUUUUAUCACCUUUAUAGAUGAUCUAUCUCGUUAUGGUUAUGUUUAUCUAAUGCAUGAAAAGUCUCAGGCCAUUGACAUCUUCGAGAUGUUCAUAACAGAGGUCAAGAGACAAUUAGAUAAAAAGAUUAAAAUUGUGAGAUCAGAUCGAGGUGGUGAACAUUAUGGCAGAUAUGAUGAAUCAAGACAAAAUCCUGGUCCUUUUGCCAAAUUCCUUGAAAAGCGUGGCAUUUGUGCUCAGUACACAAUGCCUAGUACGCCACAGCAGAAUGGUGUUGCUGAAAGGCGUAAUCGCACAUUAAUGGAAAUGGUUAGGAGUAUGAUGAGUUACUCUUCUGUACCUAUUUCAUUGUGGGGUGAAGCCUUAAAAACCGCAAUGUAUAUCUUGAACAGAGUUCCUAGUAAAGCAGUUCCAAAAACUCCUUUCGAGUUAUGGACUGGUAGGAAACCUAGCUUGAGACAUAUACAUAUAUGGGGUUGUCCAGCGGAGACAAGAAUCUAUAACCCACAUGAGAAAAAUCUUGAUGCAAGAACGAUAUCUGGAUAUUUCAUUGGCUAUUCGGAUAAAUCGAAAGGGUACAAAUUUUACUGUCCUAACCACAAUGUGAGAAUAGUUGAAACCGGUAAUGCCAGAUUCUUAGAGAAUGGUGAAAUCAGUGGGAGUAAUGAACCAAGAAAGGUAGAUAUUGAGGAGAUAAGAGUGGAUAUCCCACCACCUUUUUUAACUCAAGAAAUUAUUGUCCCUCAACCUGUUCAACAAGUUGAGGAAAAUGAGCAACAUAAUAGAGAUGGUUCAUUACUACCAGAAAAUAUUGCCAUUGAAAAUGUUGUAGAGCCACCACAACCGGCACCUUAGAGGAGAUCUCAAAGAGAAAGGAGACCUGCCAUUACAGAUGAUUAUGUGGUGUAUCUACAGGAAUCUAAUUUUGAUAUUGGGAUAAGGAAGGAUCCGGUUUCGUUUUCACAAGCCAUGGAAAGUGAUGAUUCUAGUAAAUGGAUGGAAGCUAUGAAUGAAGAGUUGAAAUCUAUGGCCCAUAACGGUGUCUGGGAUCUCAUCGAAUUGCCUAAUAGUUGUAAAUCCGUCGGCUGUAAAUGGGUCUUUAAGACAAAGCGCGACGUUAAAGGCAAUAUCGAACGAUUUAAGGCCAGAUUUGUGGCCAAAGGUUUCACUCAAAAGGAAGGUAUCGAUUACAGAGAUACCUUCUCUCCAGUUUCCAAGAAAGAUUCACUUAGAAUCAUCAUGACACUUGUAGCUCAUUUUGAUUUAGAGUUACAUCAAAUGGAUGUGAAAAGUGCAUUCUUAAAUGGGAAUUUAGAUGAAGAUAUCUACAUGGAACAACCUGAAGGGUUUGCAAAGAAAGGAAAUGAACACCUAGUUUGCAAAUUAAAGAAAUCCAUUUACGGUCUUAAACAAGCUUCCAGACAAUGGUAUAUUAAGUUCAAUAAUACCAUUACAUCUUUCGGAUUUAAAGAGAACAUUGUUGAUCAGUGUAUAUAUCUGAAAGUUAGUGGGAGCAAGUUUAUAUUUCUGAUACUGUAUGUGGAUGAUAUUUUGCUUGCUAGUAGUGAUCUUGGUUUAUUACGUGAAACCAAGGAAUAUCUCUCUAAAAACUUUCAUAUGGUUGAUAUGGGUGAGGCAAACUAUGUUAUUGGCAUCGAGAUCUUUAGGGAUCGAUCUCGAGGAGUACUAGGUUUAUCUCAGAAAGGAUAUUUUGAUCGAGUUUUAGAAAGAUUUAAUAUGCUGUCAUGUUCAUCGGGUAUUGCACCUAUAUUGAAAGGUGACAAAUUAAGUAAAAUGUAGUGCCCAAAGAAUAACAUGGAAAGGGAGCAAAUGAAGAAAAUUCCUUAUGCAUCAGCUAUGGGAAGUUUGAUGUACGCUCAAACAUGUACAAGACUGGAUAUCAGCUUUGUUGUAGGCAUGUUAGGAAGAUACCAAAGUGAUCCAGGAUUCGAACACUGGAAAGCUGCAAAAAAGGCGAUGAGGUACUUACAAGGGACAAAGGAUUAUAUGCUCACAUAUAAAAGAUCAGAACAAUUAGAGGUUGUCGGUUACUCGGAUUCUGAUUAUGGUGGUUGUCUCGAUAGCUUAAAGUCAACUUCAAGAUUUGUCUUUAUGCUAGCAAAUGGGGCAAUCUCAUGGAAGAGUGAAAAACAAUCAAUUACUGCUUCAUCCACGAUGGAGGCCGAGUUUGUUGCUUGUUUUGAAGCUUCAAGUCAUGCUUUAUGGUUGCGGAAUUUUAUCUCAGGGCUUGGUGUUGUCAACUCUAUUGCUAAACCUUUAAGAAUAUAUUGUGAUAACACCGCAACUGUUUUCUUCUCUAAGAAUGACAAAUUUUCUAGUGGAUCGAAACACAUGGAUUUAAAGUAUUUAGUUGUUAAAAAAAGAGUCCAGAAACAACAAGUGUCAAUUGAAAAUAUUAGGACCACACUUAUGGUUGCUGAUCCAUUAACUAAAGGAUUACCUCCAAAGGCAUAUUUGGAACAUGUUAUGAGGAUGGGCCUUUUGACUAAUCCAUAAUAUGUAUGAUAAUGAAUGGUGGUUAUGUAAUUGACAAUUUGCGCAUUAAAAUUGUUUAUGUUUAUUCUUAUUUUCAAUUAUGGGUGCACGUUUUAUUGUUUGAUAAACAAGAAUUGUCUUGACAAGACAAAUUACAAGGGCUAUUUGGCAUUAAGGACUGAGUUAGUAAGGGUUAUUGAUGUGUGGUGCAUGGAAGGAAACAUGACAUUAUGGUUAUGUGACCGCCAUGACUCGCAUUUAUGAUCUAAACUGAUUCAGUAUUAUGGUAUAUGAUUUUGGACGUAUUGGCGAAGUUUAUUGAAAUCGUGAUCACAUGUCAAAUUUAUUUUCCAGUAUAUAUUUUAUGUAUAAAAACUAAAUAUAUUAUAGUUUUCAUAAUCGGUUUAGUGGGCCAAGUGGGAGAAUGUUAUUUCCACAUUAAAAUUAAGUGGGUGGCCCACUAACCUAGUAUUUAGCCAAUUAAAAGAAUACCUAAAAUAUUUAAACUGUUAUAAAGAUAUUUACCCUUUGAUGGAGUGGGUAAAUUAUAAUAAUAAUAAUAUUAUUAUUUGGAAUAAAAAACAGUUAUUCGAAUAACACGUUCAUAAUGGUUUUUGAACGUGUAUUUUUGACCCUCUUCUCCUAUCAAUAAGAUAUAUAUACAGAAACCCCUUCAUGUGCUGUGAGUGCUCUCUUCCAUCAAUUACAGAAAACAAUUCUGUGUAUUAAAGUUUGAUAAGGAGAAGAAGAGAUCAAGGAUUUAAGAUCUAUAAACUGAAGGGAAAUCUCUCAUAGCUGCGUGUUCUUCAAACGGUAUGUAAUCUAUUUUAAUUAAUGUUUUUAUUAUUUUAUUUUUCAGAGAUGAGUUUGAAUUCAAUGAUCUGGAAUAUUGUGUGUUAAUUUCCGUGUUAAAUGUCAACAGUACUAACUUGCAUGUCAAAAGCAUCCGUAGCUGUAGUUUUUAGUUCAAACCUUGGCGAUAAUUUGGAUAACUUGUAGGGCCGAGGCUUUAGAACUUUGGUUUUAGAAUGUGUUUGGGGUUUAUCUCUCCCUUCGUCCGGGAAGUGAACCAUCUUUUUAAAGCGGUGAGUAUGCCAGUAAUUCUUGACAUCAUUAGCAGUCCUCCCUGGAAGUCUGCCCGCGAUCAAGGACCAUCUAUACAAGCACAGCAUGCAACAGAUCAACUAUCAAGUACAAGCACCACAUGGAGGCUUUUCUAAUUUGGAAUAUAGCUUCAGAAUUGAUAUAAUAAUAUCAUGUUACCAAUAUUAUGUUCCUUUGAUGAGUCAAAGCUGGUGCCCUUCUUCCUUUCCUAUUUUUUUCCUUGGAUAAGUCAACCCUUCCCAUUCCACUUUUCUUCAGGUGUUUGGUCUAAGACUCUAAAAUCAUUUUUAAAUUUUGAUUUUCUCUAUUGAAAAUAAUAUUCAUUUUUUCCUUAUUUUUUAAAAUCUACUUAAUUAAAAAAGCAAAAUUUAUUUUUUGAAAGUACAAUUCAUUUAUUCAUUAUUUUUUCAUUUUCUUUAUUAAAAUUUUAUUUUAACAUCAUGUGUAAUUAAAUUAACAUUAAAAUAAAUUAAUUUUUAAUAUAAAAAUACAUUCAUCUAUAAUAAUUAAUAAUAUAAAAAAUAAAAAAUACUAAUAUUUUAAACAAUAUUGAUUUCAAAUAUAUAAUAUUCAUAAUAUUUUUAUAUUUAUAAUAUUUAUAAUUUUCAUAUCAUGAAUCUCAUUUUUUAUAUUUUAUAUUUUUGAACUUUUUUCUAGAAUAUUAAACCUAAAUUUUUAAAAAUAAAAAUAAAAAUAAACACCAUCCACAUGCAUAUUCUGUAUAGGUGGUAACUCAUCUUUAACUAGCUAGUUGGAAAGUAAUUUUAGAAGCAUGCAUAAGUUAUUAUUCUAAUACAUGAUUUGGAUAUUAUUUUCCCCAAUAUAUACUAUCCAUAAAACUCACUUUUUUAACUUCUUAAUUCAUCCAUAUUUUUAAAAUAAAGGACCUUUACAUGAUUCCCCAAAGUUUUUUUAUUGCAAUGCCGCAUUGCUUGGCUUCCAAAUAUACUGAAGUUCAUGGACAAGGAGUAUUGUUCAUAGGAGAUGACAAUUGGCAAGUAGUACAAUUAUUAACUCUCUACGUAAAUUUACUGUUAAGAUACAGUCCAAAUGCAGCCUAGGAAUUGCUAAACAUGUGGUUCAAAUGCAUAUCUUGGAUAGGGUUCAGGCAUCCUGUUAUUAUGACAAAUACAGCCAUGAUCUUCUAACAAAGCUGAGAUUGUGAUCGCUUUUAGGCAUCCUGUUCAUCUUGUAUUUGGGAUUCCAUCAAUUAAUUUCUUAGGAGUUCAAUCAUGCACUAAUUCUUUGAUAAAUAGGAAGAACGAAAAAUACAAAAUAAUUUAAUAAAAUAAACAUUUUCUUUAUUUUUAUUAGAUUCCUGCAUUUGAACUCCUGAAGAAUUCUAUUUAAUAAAAGAAAGAUAUAAUUUGAAACUCCAGACAAGUUUUAAGCAACAAAUUCUCAAUCCAUUUCAAAGGACACUGACACGGACCUCAACCACUACCAUUUAUAGCUGCACGAGUUAUGUUUAAGUUGGGACUUCUAAUUUUAAAAUUAGUGGGAUUGAAACACGUAGAGGAGCAAAAAAAAAUAAAGAAAAAGGAGAAGAUUUUAGCAAGGUUUAAUAAUUAGUGUGAUUUUUACGUUUACAAAGCACAUCAACACUAAAGAAUUCGUUAAUUAAACAAAGAAAUCCCGAGCACUGUAUUGAAAAUUUUGACAAAAACAUUUAAAAGACAACCAACAAAAAUCAAGAAAGCAACAUUACAUCACAAAGGUAUCGAAAAUUUUGAUACAUGAAAUAUUAGCUAGCAUAGGUUGAGCACAACUAUAUAUUUAAUAGAAUGACUUAAAAGUGUUUUCAAAGUCAAAUAUUCUAAUUGGGCUCGCUGUGAUGGGAGCUCAUUUUUUUUUCUUUCUUCAAUAAGCUAUGUAUUGGAUCCCAUGGGUGGACCAUCAAGGAUACUCUCCCCGAGUGAUUUAUCGUUUGGUUAUUACAAUUCUCAACCAUUAUUUUAUAUUUUUCUUUUUUAAAUUAAUCCUUAUACCAUCAAUUUUCACCAUUGCUUUCAUUUUCAAAAUCUAGUUUCUAAACUUUUUGUAUUGCACCAUCUUCAAUCCUUAAAAUGAAUUCUUGUGAUUUGAUAUUUAGCUCACCAAGUUCAAAUAUUACUUGUAAUUGACAACCCUAUGCUCAAAGUGAAUACCAUGCAUUAUGGAUGUUCAACCAAAAUUUUUAUGUUAUUAUUGGGGGAGCUUUUCUUUUUUUUUUCGCAAAUAAUAUGGAUUCAAAUAUACCAUAUUAAUUGUGCCUAGCAAUUUGUUCAGAUUUAUCCUUGGAUCUAUCAACAAUUUUAAAUGUCCUAAAUAAAAGGGUUUUGUUUUAAGGGACAGGUAGAUAAAUUGAAAUGAUUCUAAAUGCAGUGCGGAAAUUAUAGUCAACGGCAACCACGCGGGUGUCCUUGUCAAUAAUGCAGCAAGCGUACGUGUCGUCACCCUGUGCGGGAUUGGUACCAUGUGGGUGUCCUUGUCAAUCAAAGCCCAUCCUGCUGCCUCCUGUGCACCAUCUUGUACCAAUCCCCGUCUUAUGCAUGGUUGCAAAUUGUUGAGACGAUGACAUAUGAGACUGAUCAUUUAUUUAUCAUCAUUUUUCAAUGAAGGUACUAUUAUUAGGCUAUUGCUCUGGCCCAUGAAGUAUUUUGCCUCUCGCAAUAUUCUUUUCUCCACAAAAUAGCUAGAGAACUACGAGAUAUAUGGUAUUGCUACUUGACAAAAACAUUUUAAGUUCUUUUUCUGCUAUCUAUUUAAUGCUGGGUUCGUAUUCUCAGCCACCCAUCCCCUGCUUCUUUUUGAGUGAGUGAGAGAGAUCGGUCAGCGUCAUUAGAUUGGAUGAGUAUGGGCUUACUAGGAUCAACAAAAUGUGUGGUACCUGUUGGUUCCUGCUCAAUAAUGACCCUUUAAGCAGCCGCCCCAGCGCCUCCAAUUUUUUAAGCAGAAAAUUGUGUUUUCAACCCUUAUAAUUUGAUAAUUAAGAUAAAAUUAGAAUGGAUGAAGAGUUUUUAUUUUAAGUACUCAAUUAAAAUAUUUUUAAAUAAUUUAAUUUUAGAAGUGGAUUAUAUCAAUACAUAGUAUAAAUUGAAUUUUUCUUAUAUAAAAGGAUUGAAAGGUAUAUUUACUUAUUUUAGAUGAAAACAAGUAGUUAAAAAUUAUAUAGAUUACAUUUGAGUUUGGUUUUAAAAUAUUUUUCUAGUCUUUAUUUUUUUAUUUUUAAAAAUAAUUUUUAUUUUUUAUAUUGCCUCUUUUUGAAAAUAGCAUUUAAUUAAAAAACUGAAAACUAUUUUUAAAAAUGAAAAUUGAAAACCUUGUUUAGCAUUAUUUUUUUAUAUGAAAAUAAAAAUAAAUAAAUUUAUUUAUUCAUUUAUGUGAAACCAAGGUUUGGUUGUGAAACCAAGGUUUGGUUAAUCUUGAUUUUGAUGAUAACAAAACAAGGUUUAGAACUAAUGAUCAUAUUUCAAGUGUGAUUAGGCAAGACGACUUCCAAAGUGGCAAUCCAAAAACAAAUCAAGCCAAGGAGAAAUCAUGAAGAAGAAGACCACCUCAAAGAGAAGAGUUUUUUCAAGACCAAAACUUCUUAAGAUCUCCUUGUAAAGUUGUUGGUGCACUAGGACUUUCAUGCAUUUCAUUCUUUAUUUAUGCACCAAAAUCAUCUAAGAGUAAUAUUGUUUUAAAUAUCUUAAGAAUCGGAUGAUUUCAUGUUUUCAACUAAAACCUUGUGUUAAAUGAUUUUCAAACUUGUGUUAAAAUGUUUUAAGUUGAAAAAGGUUGAGUGUUGAGCCAAAAAAAAUGGCUCAACCGGUUCAAACCGUCGACCGGUUGUGCUCGUCCGGUCAAGGACCGGUUGAGGGAGGCCAAAAAGUUUUUCUCUCUCCUAGUGGCUUUCUCUUCCCGGUCAAGGUUGAACCUCAACCGGUUGAAGUCCGAUUGAGGCCCAACGGUCACUUUUCCUAACGGCUAGUCAACCGGUCGAACCCCCAAUGGCUAGUUUGGCUUUUUUCUUCUAUAAAAAGGCUUCAAUCUUCAUUGUUUUACAAGCUUAACCUUCCUAAAUCAUUCUUGAUUAUAUUUGAGCCUUGGAAGAGUGUUUUUGAGUGCACCAUUGUUUCAUAACUUGCAUAUCUUUAGUGCACCAUUCAAUCCUAAUUUUUCUUGUAUCUUUGAGUUUAAAGUUCUAUUACUAGGAUUUUUGUGAGAUCAUUAUUUGUAUAUCUUUGUGAGGAAUUUUCUCAAGUGAGGGGUAUCACUUGAGAGGUUGUUCAAGAGAGGGACAUCUCUUGAAGAAGUGUAAAGGGUGCUUAGAGCCAAAAGUCCAAGAGGGUGAAUUGGAACCAUAAUCCAAUUGUAAAGAGAUUGGAAGCUUGGUUGAAGCUUCAAGAUAGUGGAACCCUCACUCGGUUAGGAGGUUGAGGAGAGUGGACGUAGGCAAGGAAGUGCCGAACCACUAUAAACUCUCGUGUUUGCACUCUCUCUUCCCUAACUCUUUUAAAUUAUAUGCAAUUAUCUUUAUUUUGUUUAUUAUAUACUUGCAUAUAAUUGUCUCUUAUUUUUGCAUAGUUUAAAUUUGUGAAAAAGAGACCAUCACCCCAUUUACCCCCCCCCCCCCUCUAGGGUGAUUACCAUAGUUUGGAUUAGCCUCAAAUUCCUAACAAUUUAUUGUGUUACUAUACAAUUGUAUUACACUAAUCGUACAAGGGAAAUGUACUAAGUGUACAAAAGUGGACAAGGAUACCAUUUGUGAAAUAUUAUAAUUGAUUAUGAGUCAUUCCUUUAUUUUUCUUAUCACUCAUGUAUUGUCCACGUAUGUCAUGCACUUUAUUUAAUUCCUACAUGGAAAUUCUAAUACUUUUCCCAAUAAUGAUAUUUGGGGAAAAAAAUUUUGACCUUAAGUCAUCCACCAUCUUCUCAACUAAACCAUUGAAAAUAUGAUUAAACACUCCUACAUAUACACAUAAUUUAAGAGGGAUAUGAAAUUUGUGUUAUUAUACAAGGGUAUUACACUAACUGUACAGGGGAAAUGUACUAAUUGUACAAAGGUGCACAAGAUUACCUUUUGUAAAUGAUUUUAAUCAAUUCUAAACCACUUUUUUAUUUUCUCUAUCACUCAAGGAUUGUACACAUAUGUUAUGCACUUUAUUUAACUCUCACAUGAAAAUUCAAAUAUUUUCCCCAAUAAUGAUAUCUGGGGAAAAAAAAUUGAUCCUAAGUUAUUCACUAUUUUUUCAAUCAAACCAUUGAAAAUAUGAUUAAUACAUCUAUAUGGACAUAUAACUUAUGGGGGAUAUGAAAUUUGUGUCAUUGUACAAGAGUAUUACACUAAUUAUAUAAGGGAAAUAUGCUAAGUGUACAAGUGUACAAGGCUCCUAAUAGGUUUUGUACGAUUUUUAAACAACUUGAGUUUGACAUUAAGAUGAUUAUUGAUAGUUUUGUUUUGUUUUUUUUACCAAACUAUGUCAUUAAGACAUUCCUUACAAAAAUUAACACAUAGGAAAUAAAAUUAAAAUAAAUCAUAUUUGAAUUGUUCAUUAUAAGUAAACUAAAUGAAAUAUAUUUUUUUACUAUUUUGCCUUUAUAAACAUAAUUUUAUUGUUAUCAAUAGAGUUUAAAAAAUCAUAUUUAAAUGGAAUUAAAAAUAAACAAAAAUUAUUUUUAUAACAUUUUUUAUUUUUUUAAAUCAUUAAUUUAAAUUAUGAAAUUAGUUUUAAAAUUAAAAAUAUUUGUUGUAAUUAUAGUUUUGAAGAUUUCAUGAUUUUUAUCUUAUUACUUUGAAAAAAUUGCUUUAAGAAGAAAGUAUUUAUUUUAAUGGUUUUAAAUAUUUAAAUCUUUAUUAAAAAAUAUUUAGGAUUAGUGUGGAGAGCAAUUAGGUAAUUUUGGAAUGGAGAAAUUUUGAAUACUUUGAAAACUUUAAUUCGGCCAAUUACCUUAUUUACACUUUUAAAAUUAUUGGAAGGUUGGUAAAUUAGUCUUAGAAAUAUUGUCUUCUUGAUUAAUAUUAUAUAUAUAUGCAUGUGAGUGUUUACAUUAUUUUCGAAAUAAUAUGAGAAAUAAUAAACAACAUGUGUCUAAUUUGCAAGUUAGAAAAAAAAAUUAAUAAUACUUUAUGAGGUAUUUAAAAAGUAUUUAUUAUAUGUUCUAUAAAUUUGAAAAAAAAAUAUUCAUAAUAUCUAAUUUACAAGUUAGAACAAACAAAUAAUACUAAUAUUUUAUGAGGUGUUUAAAAAUUAUUUAAUAUAUAUGAGAAAUAAUAUAAGUUUGAAAAAAUAAUAAUAUUUGAUGAGGUAUUUAAAAGUUAUUCACUUCAAAAAUGUAUUUGACAAUAAUAAUUUUUAACUAUCUUUCAUAUUCAAUUUGAUGAAGAAAAAUGAUUCAACUUAGUUCCACUAUUAAAUAGGUGAGAAAAUGGUAAAAGAGUUAAAGAGGGAAUGAGAAAGGUAAAGUGAUUGGUUAGUUUUUUCAUUUAAUAGUUAAGGGUAUUUUGGGGAUUUUUUUUAAAGACAAUAUCCUUCCUUUCGAUUUCUACUAUUUCAUUGGGUUUUAAGUUUAAUUAUGAGUGAUAUUAUGACCUUACCUCAAUUACCCAAUUUAGCUGGCUGAAAACACAAUUCUCCAUUUUUUAUGAUUCUGCAAAAAGAUAUGUUUGGAUUUGUUUGGGCAAAUCUCUCCCAUGGCCAAGGCAACUUACAGGAUUUUUGAGGAAUAGAUUUAUGAGGGACCUAUUCUUUAUAUCUGCAUUUCUUGUCACAUUGUGAUUAUAUACGCCGAGCUUUAUAAUUUCCUUCAGGUCAUUAUAACUCCUUUUUAUCUUCACAUUUAGGACAUGUUUGGUACUUGGGAUGAGAAGUGGGAAUGAUCCUGUCAUCUCUUCCCAUGUUUGGAUGAUUCAAAUAUUAAUAGGAAUGGAAUUAAGAACGAUUCCAAAUAUAAUGAAAUCGAGUUGUAAGUGGGAUAUCAAUUCGUUAUUAGGAUGAUGUAUUUUGAUUCUUUAGUACAAGUUAUUUUUAAAAAUAUUUUUCAAAAAUUAAAAAACCAAAAUCUUUUUUUGGAUAAAUUGUUUUUAAAAAUAAAAUUUUAUUUUAUAUUGUAAAAUACAAUUUGUAAAUUCAAUUUAUAUAAUAUAAAUUAAAUUUAAUUCAAGUCUUAUUAAAAAUAAAAAUAUAUUUAAAUUUAUAAAUAAAUUAAAAAUUAAAUACUUCUUUAAUAAAAUUUUAAUAUUAAUAUUAUAAUAAAACCAUAAAUCAUAUAUAUAUAUAUAUAUAUAUAAUUGAAUAUCAACAUCUUAUAAAAGCAUAAUUAAUUUAUUUUAUUAAAAAUAAAUAAUAAUAAUUCAAAAUUAAUAACUUUUAAUACUAUUUUAUUUUAAAUGAAUUUAAAAACAAAUAAAGUUUAAUUUUUUAAAAGUAUAAAUGAGCUAAAUUUUUCAUUACAUUAGUAUAUACAUUUAUUACUCAAUUAUCGACAUGGUACUCUAAAUUUUUUUAUUUAAUUUAUAAUUAAUUAAUCAUUUUUUUAUUUCAAAUCAUUCUUACAAAUUAAAAGAUUCAUUAAAGAAUUUAAGUCUAUUAUUUUUUAUACUCAUUAUAUAUAGUUUUUGAGUUUCAUAUUAGCUUUAAAAAUUAUUAAAUUUAUUAAUAAAUUUAAUACAAAGUUUUGCUUGGUUUGAAAUCCAUUUCUCUAAUAAAAAGAACUCAGCAAAACAAUUCAUUAUUUUAUGUUUUUUUUUUCAAAAAAUAGAAAAAAAAUUACUUUUAGAUAACAAUAGCCAAAUAAUUAUAUAAUUUUUUUUUAAAAUUAUUAUUUUUAAAUCAUACGUCUCAAAUAGGUUUUCUAUUAUUUAGCCAAAAAAAACUCUUAAAGGUGUCUUUUAAAUAAAAAUUAAAAAUUAAUUUUAAUUAUGUAUAAAGUGAGAGGUUUUAUAAUGAAAAUAAAAAAUAUUUUAAACUAAAUAUACAAAUAUUACUAUCAAUUUAUUUCUUUUUUCAUUUUCAUUCUCGUACGUAUUUGGUAUGCGAGAAUAAGGAGUGGGAAUGAAUAUCUCAGUCAUUUUUUCUUUUAUUUCUAUAUUUGGAUAACUUAUAAAUAAUGAUGAGGAUGGAAUCAAAAGCGAUUGCAAUGAGAAUUAAAUCUCACUUAUAAGUGAGUUUUCAAUUCAUUUGAUUAUGAGGUAUUUUGAUUCCUUAAUGUAAGUUAUUUUUAAAAAUACUUUUUAAAAGUAAAAAAAAAAAAACAAAGGACUUUUUUAGAUAAGUUAUUUUUAAAAACAUUUUUUAUUUUGAUUUUAUAAAAAACACAGAUUAUAAAUUCAAUUUAUACAAUAUAAACUAAAUUUAAUUCAUGUCUGGUUAAAAAAAAAAACAAAUUUUUUAGUUACAAAUAAAUUUAAAAUAAAUAAUUUUUAAUAAAAUAUGAGAUGUUCAUUCCCGCUCCUACCAGUACCAAACAUGUCCUGAAAGUAGGUCUCUUCCAAGGCCCUUGGUUAGGAAAUCGACCAAAUUUUCUUUGGACUUGGACAUAUUCUAAAGCCACUGUCCCAUUAGAGAUGAGUCUUUUUACAUAUUUCCCAUUAAAGAUCUCACUAUAUACUCUGAGCAUUGCGGCAUGAUUUUCAUACCACACAAUGAUGGUUGACUCUGCCUUAUUCCAUAUCGGUACUUCUUCUGAUAUAUUCCUUAGCCACUUAGCUUUCUCUCCAGUAAAUGAGAGGGCCAUGAACUCAUACGGAAUUGUGGAAUGAAACCUUUUCUUGUAACCGUGGGAAUAUAUGAGCAUGGAUUUUGUACUAAGGUUGCCUAGACCACAAUGUAGGGUUGACACAAUUUUUGUGGCGUUAGAUCACUUCUCCAAGAUAGCUCACUUUAUUCCUUAUGAGAAUACCAUUGAUGCCUCACAAGUUUCUCAAUUGUUUUUCAAAGACACAGUUCGACUUCUUGAAGUUCCUUGGACCAACAGGUGACACAAGAUUCAUGAAUCAAUUUUGGCACACUCAAUUUAUAAGGACUAAACUACAAUUUUCAAGCACUUGCCAUCCAUAAACUGAUGGACAAUCAGAGAUGGUGAAUCAAACUUUGGGAAAUUUGCUAAGGAGUCCUACUGGUGGCAACCAUGAAAAGAAUAUGUUUUUUUUUCCUCAAUCAGAAGUCCUCUCUCUUGGUUUUUGUUUUUCUUCCUAAAACGACAGUCAAUACUUUUAUGUUGUGAAAAAAAUGAUUCUUAUAUUUAUAGUUUCAUUCAUGACUUGAAAUAAGAAAAUUGAUCAGUAAAACAACCAAUCAGGAUUCUUGGACAUCUUAAAAGGUAAUUCUGAAAACCUUAUUUUACAUCCGAGAUGGUUUAUGGAAAGAGUCAAAUUCAUAAUUUUAAUCAUUCACAUGUUCUAAAUCUAUGGAAGUGUAGCACGGAGGCUGAAGAACUUGCUAGUUAUGUUCUAAAUCUGAAGAGGUGAUUGGGUGAGGGUUUACUUAAGAAGGGAGUGUUUUAUACUAGGCACUUAUCACAAGCUCCAAUGCAAGAAUUUGAGUUUUGUCAGUGAACUACUACAGCUCAAGAUGCAAUUACGGUCAUUAAGAAAAGAAUCUAUGACAAUGAGUGAUUACUUUGCUAAGAUGGACGAUAUUGCAGAUCAAUGUGCAAUGGCUGGUUGUUUUGUCAGUGAUGAAGAUUUGGUACUUUAUAUUUUAGCAAGUCUCGGAUCAGAAUAUGAUCCACUUGUAUGCAGCAUUACCACCUGUAAUAGUACUGAUCAUCUUUCUCUAAAGGGGAUUCAUGCUCUUCUACUCAAUCACGAAAGUAUAAUUGAGCAAUUGUAUGCAACUAAUUCAGAUUCACACCAUUUAUUUGCCAAUUUUGCUGCUCAUAAAAAUGGAGGAAAUCAUGGUCGUGGAAAAGGAAAUUUGAACCCUCAAGGUCGAGGUAGAGGAAGAAAUGGAGGUUUUUCUAGUAGAGGCAAUGGCAAUAAACCUAUUUACCAAAUUUUUGGUAAAAAAGGACACAUAACCCUCACUUGUUGGCAUAGAAUGGAUGAGAACUUUCAGUCUACAUCAUCCGUUACUAGCAGCAACAAUUAUAAGACAACAGUCUACAUGGCCACACUAGAUACAAUGAUUGAUUCAAUGCAGACUUACUUCCGGUAGCUUUUGCCAUAACUUCUAGCAUCCAAUUUGGGUUACCAAAACCACCUCAAACCCCACUCUCAGAUGUUCAUACCUCACCUACCUCACAACCAUCUAUGUCUUUAUCUGCUCAUGCUCCAACUCCAUGUCACCCCAUGAUUACCCGAGCCAAAGCUGGCAUUUUUAAACCAAAAGUGUAUGCUGCCCUCAAACAUCCCUUGAGUUUCUCACAUGGUCCUAUUGAACCUAUGUGUGUAAAGCAAGCUCUUGCUUAUCCAAAUUGGAAGAUAUCAAUGGAAGAAGAAUACAAGGCUUUAAUGAGGAAUCACAUAUGGGACUUGGUACCUUAUCAGCCCCAAUAUAAUGUAGUGGGCAAUAAAUGGGUGUUUAAGUUGAAGUUUCACCCAGAUGGCACUCUUAAUAAACAUAAAGCUAGGUUUGUUGCCAAGAAAUUCCAUCAAACCCCAGGUGUGGAUUUUUCAAUAACUUAUAGUCCUGUGAUUAAACCUGCCACAAUUAGAGUUGUACUAACUCUAACAAUUGCUCAAGGAUGGGAAAUUAGGCAACUGGACAUAAAUAAUGCUUUUCUCAAUAGAUAUCUGCAAGAAGAUGUGUUUAUGUCUCAACCUGAAGGUUUCAUUCAUCCUACCAAGCCUCAUCAUAUUUUCAAACCGAGGAAAGCUCUCUAUGGUUUGAAAUGGGCUCUAAGGGUCUAGUUUGAUAAACUUAAAGAUGCAUUAUUGCAGUGGGGUUUUCAAGAUUCAAAGUCUGAUGUAUCUUUGUUCCUAUAUAAGACCAAAGGAAUCAUACUCAUGCUAUUGGUAUAAGUAGAUGACAUCUUGAUUACCGGAAAUAAUAGCAUAGUAAUUUCGGACUUGGUUCAUGACCUCAAUAAGAGUUUUCUUCUAAAGGAUGUUGGUUCAUUACAUUACUUCCUAGGAAUUGAAGCCUUUCGAGAUGAAACAGGUCUCUAUUUAACUCAUUCAAAAUACAUUGCCGACCUGCUUCAAAAGACAAAUAUGGAUACAAUAAAGCCCUUACCAACACUAGCUAUUUUUGGAAAAGUGUACUCCAAAUCAAGUAGUGAUCUAGGGAUAAUCCAAUCAUGUAUAGAAGCAUAGUUGGAGCCUUGCAAUAUGUUACAAUCACAAGACCUGAUAUAUCAUACAUGGUUAGUAAGUUGAGUCAGUUCUUACAAAGUCCAACAGAGAUACUUUGGAGAGCUUGUAAAAGAGUAUUACGAUAUUUGAAAGGAACUAUCACUCAUGGUUUGCAUUUCCAGCCAAACCAAUCUUUAAAUCUUGUGGGUUUCAUAUAUGCAGACUAGGAUAGCUGUCCAGAUGAUGGAAGAUCAACAAGUGGUUAUUGUGUGUAUCUAGGAGGUGAUCUUAUUUCUUGGAGCUCAAAGAAAUAAAGUGUUGUUGCUAGGUCUAGCACCAAAUCAGAAUAUCGAGGCUUAGCUCAUGUGACAGUUGAGGUGAUUUGGCUCAAGUCCCUAGCAACAAAAUUGGCCCUUCAAUUGAGAUUAAGACUGGCAAUCUAAUGUGAUAACCAAGGAGCCGCCUCACUAGCUGCUAAUCCCGUUUAUCAUGCUAGAACUAAGCAUAUUGAAAUUGAUAUACAUUUCAUUUGUGAUAAAGUACUUAAAAAAGAAUUGGAUAUAUGGUUUGUACCCUUAGUAGAUCAAAUAGUUGAUUUGUUUACAAAACCACUUUCAAUCACUCGAUUCUUGAAACUUAAGGCCAAACUCCAGGUGAAAGAAUCCUUCUUUUGUUUGAAGGGGCGUGUAACGACAAAUAGUGCACAACUGAAGAACAUAAUUGCAACAGCUUCAGCCAUGUCAUCCUCUCCGGAAGCUUCUGCCAUGUCAACUAUUAGCUAAAGAUUUGUUAGAUUCUAUUUUUGAUUAGUUAGCAUUAGCAAAUUAGUUAGCAAUAGAUUAGUAAGCAAAAUAGAACACUCUGCUUUUGUAUAUAUAUAAGUAGAAUAGAACCAACCUCUGUUUCAAGUAAUGAGAAACAUAAAUAGUUUUCUUCACACAUAGGAUUUGUUAUUUUUAUUUUUCUAAAAAUGUUAUAUAUUAAAGGAGACAUAAUAUUUACGGGGUUCUAUAAGAAUGUGUUAUCUAGAUCCUCAAAUAAUGAUUAAUCCAUUAAUUUUCAAAUCAAAACUACAAAGUAAAUUAAGAGAGCUUUCUCCACAUAAAUUGGUUAAAGCCUUUAAGAUUGGCAAAAACCACAAAGAUGGACUAAAGUUAUUCUAACAACUCUACCUAAAGUCAUUCUCACACACUCAAGCCACACUCUAACCAAAGGAAUUAGACUUCUUACUAGGACCACAAACCUUCAGAAAACCAAUUCCUACUCUUUGUAGUACAAAGACUCCUAACAUGUAACAAAUUAAUUAUCAAAUCAUAAUCCUUUAGGACAAAGAUUCCUAAAAUACAUCAAGUUUUUAAUUUUGUUAAAAAACAAUAAAUCUUUACCUUAAACAAAUUUUAAAUUUUCUUCCAACUUUCCAAAUUCAAAACAUUCUUUGAUAAGCGAACACUUACAUAUAUAAUCAGAAUAGUGCAAUUAUAAAGAUGUCUUAUGCGUGGAAUAUUGAAGCCAAGUCAACUGAAAUGUUGAUACUGGGUCAACUGAAGGUAGCUUCUCCAUUGGUUGUGAUAGUGGAAGCUUCUUCCCAACAACUGGAGACUGGGUCGACUUCUCCCUUACACAAAGGAUGUUCGGACAGGUUGUCCGAGCACACUCUCCGAAGCUCAAGUCAGGCACCAAAUGGAUAGGAACCUUUAGAAAGGAGAGUAAAUAGGGGAACCCUCUAGUCUUGCGUACCUGGGCUCUGUUUUAAGAGGAUUUUUAUUGUGCUCAAGGGGAAAAGCACUGUAGUGCUAAGUUGGCACCUUGACCUAAUCUGUAAUAAUGGAAGUGAAGAGAUAGAGGGUUAUGAGGAUAGGCUUUGAGAAAAAAAGUUAACGAUGUUUCAUAAUUGAGAACCUGGGUGGGCAUUCUAUUUAUUAGAUAACAUAGUAAGAACAACAUUCCCUUAGAGGUAUUUUGACAUAUUAUUUGUGAAUAUAAUGGCUCUAGCUACUUCUAGAAGGUGGUGAUCCUUUCUUUCAACAAUGUAAUUUUGUUGUGGGGUUAUUAUGUAGGAGAUUUGAUGAAUAAUGCCUUUCUUAGAGAGAGAACUUCCUAGAAUAGAUUUAAAAUAUUCUUUUUCGUUGUCUAUUUUGAGAAUUUUAAUGUUCGCAAUGUAUUGGGUGUUAAUCAUGACAUAAAAUUUUUUGAACACUCACUCUAGUUCUGAUUUUUCUUUCAAAAGAUAUACCCAACAAACCCAAGCGUGAUCAUCAAUAAAUGUGAUAAAUCAUUUUUUUUCAUUAAAUGUUUAACUCGUGAAGGGCCUUAAAUAUUACUAUGGACUAAUGAAAAAGAUGAUGAAGACUUAUUUUUUAGGAGAAUAAAUGAAAUGAACAUGCUUGGCUAAGUGACAAAUUUCACAUUCAAAGAAAUCUCCAUUAUGAAAUAGUGAUGGAAACAAAGUUCAUAAAUAUGAAAAGCUUAGGUGGCUUAGUCUAUGAUGGCACAACAUUAUUUUUUGUUCUUUAGAAAGAGACUUACAACUCACAGUUUGAGCUUGUUUAUUCAAUUCGACUUCCUUCUCAAAAUAAUAUAACCCCUCAUGUUCUUUAGCAUUGCCAAUCUUCUUCCCCUAAAUCAGGUCUUGAAACACAGAAGAAGACUCAAAGAAAUGAGCACCACACUUUAAAUCUUUAGUCAACUUACUAAUAGAAAGAAGGUUGCAAGACAAAUUUGGAACAUGCAAUACAAAGUGUGGUUCAAUAUUAGGACCAAUUCUAAUAGCUCUAGUUCUACCACUGGUGAAAGAGAUCUUUCUCCUAUUUUAUCUUUGAAACUUCCUAAACUAGGAUUAUAUGAUGAGAAAAUUUUUCAUAGCCCAUCAUGUGAUCUAUGGCUCUAGAGUCAAUCACUCAUGGUUCCAGAUCCCUACUACAACUACUAAGAGCUAAGAAAAAAUUACCUCCAUAUGCUAGUAAUAAAGUAGUGGUGUCCUGUGAUGGUUUGAGUAGUUUGUACAAUUUUUUCAUUUUUCCUUUGGUAAGCAAGAACUAUGUACGUUCUCCAAAUUUUACCUCAAGCUAGGACCCGAUUUGUUAGAAAUCUCAGCUAAAAUUUGAAAACCAGAGUGAUCUCGAUUUCCAACCCUACUGUCCUUUGAAUUUGGUGGCUUACCAUGUAACUUCUUGUAGCAAUCUUUAGUGUGAUUUGUUUUCUUAUAGAAAUCACACCAAAGAUUGUUUAUCUUUUACUUCUUAGGGCAUUCUUAACCACAAACUUUGAAACUUCAGGUAAUGAUGGUUUUGAUCCACCUAUCAUAACCCAUUUUCGGCUUGACUCUCUUUGAACUUCAACAAAUAUUUAAGUAAUCAAUGGGAAAGGUUUGAUUCCUAGAAGUCAACCCCUGACUUCAUCAAGAUCAGGAUUUAAUCCUACCAAAAAAUAUCAGACUCGUUCUGUUUUAACCUACUUUUUGUAAAGUUUAGCAUCCUUAGGAUUUGACCAUGGAAUUUGGACAUAAAGAUCAAUUAAUUUAUUGCCACAAGUGAGUCAAGGCAUUGAAUUAUUAGGUAACAUCCAACUCCCCUAGUUUCAAAUCACGGGCUCCAUUUCCAAGUUAAAAAAAUUGGGUUAAGUUUUCCAUGUCUAAGCAUGCUAAAGUUUGUGCAUCCCACAUCUCCUUAGCAAUGGAAUAAUAUAAGAUAAGAUUCCUUGAUAUCUUAUUUCAUGGAGUUCACAAUCAAUGCCAUAACCAUAGAGUUUCGUGCAUCCCAUGUUGGAAAAGAGAGAUUUCUUGGAUUAUGUUUUAUUAUUGAACCAUCCACAUAUAACUAAGGUGGUCUCAUCCUCAUAUCACCAUUAGAGCAUACGGAGACCAUUGAAGGAAACUUUGAUUAUUUAGUUUCGUGGUUGUAAUUUGAAGCGGAGAAUUUUCAAAAAAAAAGUUGAAAACGAGGCUAUAGUGGAUGAACUUGUAGGGAUGGGUUGAGAGACUUUUGAAAAGACCUCAAAACUAGCAUCCUUGCACUCACCAGUGAAGGUUGUUCUAUACAUCUUUUUGUCUCAACUGAUACUAGCUCUGAUACCAUGAAAUUGGGUAAGAAAAAAAAAAACAGACCGUAAAUUGGAGAUUGCUUUUGUUUUAUUAUUUUAUUUCUUCAAUACAAGUAGAUUUAUAGGAUAGGUUUUGUAACAACCAACCCUUUAUUUUAAGAGAUUGACACCAGCUAUUUUUUAGGAUAUUCUAAUCAACUAUAAUAUCACAACUAGCAAUUAUCCUUAUUUAGAGAAUAGUAAUUAUCCAAGAUUCUCUAUAAUCUAUUUCCUACUUACCCUUGGAUCUCUAUUUUCUUUACAAGAUGCCAACUAGUGGAGGAGCUUUUAGGAUAACAUUUUGGGACCUAUAAAAGCCCUCAUAUCCGUUAGAAAUGGAACUUUGGGUUAUUAGGGAGAAGGAAAGAAGUUGAGUUUCAUCUAGCAUCUCUAUUAACUCCUGUCUUUUCUUAAGCUUAGUAAUUUUUCGUUGCAUUAUUCAUAAGUAACUAGCCUUUGAUUUUAGUCUUAUUCCUCAAAGUUUUUUUUAGAGAUUUUGAGAACUUUAUGUUUCAUCAUGAUGUUGAUUUUAAUUGUAGAUUCUAAGAUGGUUUUCUUUGUUCUUCUAGUUUUGAGUUGUGAGUAGUUUUCUAAGCUUGAGAGGAGGAGUCCAUGAGACUUCUUUCAUGAAAAACUAAUUUACAUCAUGGGGUGAAUGGAUAGUGUUUCUACCUAGUAAUUGGAGUCCUUAUUUUGUUUGGGAAGAAACCCUAUUUUCCUCUUCUUGAAAUGGAAACUUAGAGGUGGUUUAUUUUAGUUUAUUUAUUUAAUUUUUUUUUUUUGGUUACUUCAAGUUCUUGAGGAUCUUAGGACUUUUGACUUGAAAUCACUUCCAUUAAGCUUUAUGUAAAAUGCAAAAUGAACUUAAAGAUUACAAUGUUGUGGAGGUAUUUAAAUAAAAUUUCUUUUGAGCUUUAGUUGGUAAUUUCUCACAAGUGUUUUCAGUUGUAGGUUUUUUUAUUGUGCAUUGGUUGUGAAAAUGAGCCUCAUUAGACUCCGAUCCUUAGCAUUUAAAUUUCUCUUUUAGCUAUAAAAUGGUAGGUUCAAGUGUCAAAAUUUUGUUAUUUUCUAUUUUUUUUUUCAUCAUAAAAUGUGAUUGUUCAGUGAUAUUCCAAUUUGGUCACAAACACUUAAUUUUUUUUGCGAAGAAACAGAAGAUUCAUAGAUCACAACUUUUAGUGAUGAGCUUUUAUUUACAAAUUUCAUGACAAAUUUUUUUAAAUAGUGGUGAUUUAUUAUUUAUUUAUGACAAAUACUUUCAUGACAAAAAUUGAUACUUGUUGUAGUGAGGUAUUUAAAUAAAAUUUCUUUUAGGCUUUAGUUGGGGAUUACUAAUGAGUGUUCUCAGUCCUUGGUUUUUUAUUGUGCAUUGGUUUUUAAAGAUGAAGCCUUAUUGGACCCCCAAUCCUUGGUAUUUAAAUUAAUUUGUUUUUUGCAUAGAUACAAAAUCAAUUUUCUUCUAUUUCUCAAAAUAUUUUUGGAGGUUCUCUAAUUUAUUAACCUCAUAUUAAACAAGCCUCUUUCAACCACUUAUUCAAGAGAAAAUCAUUCCCACUUUUGGAACUAAUUCACCACAUAUCUCCCCAUCUUUUGCUAUCAUUUAAAACACUCUUCUUGAGAAAACUAUACCUGAACCACCAUAUUUUUUACUUGCAAAGACUCCUCAUACUUAGGAAUUGGUACCAUCACAUUUGCAUUUCAAGCAAACACAUGAUAGUGUAGACCCUCAAUUUUAUCCCUUUAGCACAUGUCUUUAAGUUCACUUCCAAUGCUUCACAGUAGUUCCUUGGUGGCCCAUAGCUACUCAUACUACUUACAUUUUUUGAGCCACCUUGGAGACUUUGGUUGAGGGAUUUAUCUAACCCCGUUGUGACUCUUGGCAGCCUUAAUUUAGACUUAGGCCCACUUAGGCACCCUAGACCCAUUUAGAUACACUUGGCCCAUUAGGCAUUACCUUAGGCCCAUUUAGAUGCACUUGGAACCUUCUAGCUUGCACACAUUCACCCUAGGUUACUUAGUCAAUCUUUCAGAAUAGGUCACUUGGACACUUCUUUUGGAAUAGUUCACUUAGGCAUGUGCUUGAUUUUGGUUAUUUAUUUUUCAGGAUAAGAUGAGUGUUGGCUUGACUUUUUAUUACAUGAAAUGAAUUUUUUAUUCUAUCUUUAUUUUAUUUUUAUUUUUAUUUUUGAAGGUUUGAGUUUGACAUUUAAAUUAUUAUAAUCCGUUGCAUUACUUUAUUUUCUUGAUUUUUUUUAAUUGCAUACGUCUUAUAUUUUUUGUUAUACCCUUAUCGAUUUAUUUGUUUAUUUACUCACUUAUUCAUUUAUUCUUUAAUUCCAUGAAUUGACAUUUUGGAUUUUUGUGGCUAUGUGAUUUGAUUUUAUAUUUGAUUUUAUUCUAUUUCCAAUUACAUGAUUUCUUAUUUCAACUUUAUUUUAAAUUUUGCAUGAGACUUGGAGCCAUCAAGGAGAGGAGAUCACGACCAAAGAGGGAAACUUGGAAGGAAUCCGGGCUGCAUAUAGAAAGUGGGCAGAUCACGACUUUAAGAAAGAAUCCGGGCUGCAUAUGAUUUGUUUGAAGAAAGAAUCCGGGCUGCAUAUAGAAAGUGGGCAGAUCACGGUUGAGGCACAUCCGGGAGCAUAUGGAAAGAAGAUUAAAGGGGAUCUGAUCACUUACCAAACAAGAUACGACUGCAUCCUUGGGGAAAUCUCCAUGUGAGCCACACAUAAUGGGCUUCCCAUAUCCACGCGCAUGUAGGAAAAAAUGGAAAUAAGAUAUUCCAUAAGGAGUGGGUUGCCUUAUAAAUAAAGGAGAGAAUCCAAGCAUAAGAGGAAUUUUUUUUUCGAAGGGGAAUAGGCCGAAAGAAUUUUCAAACGGAGACUUUUCUUUUGGAGGGCAGAGAGGACACGAGAGCAAUUCUUUUGAGAAGACGUGUGAAGAACAUUGAAGAGCCGACACAUAACCAUAAAAAAGGGAGGAGCAGCCCACAAAAUCUCCACAAAUAACGGUUUAUAGGUAAGUGUACGCUUUCAAAUUUAUCUUUGAUUUCGUUUUGAUUCGUCCUUUUAGUCUUGAGUGUUUUAAUGAUUUUUGUUCUUUGAUUUAAUUAAUCCUAUAUAAUAAAUUUCUUGUUUUAAUUUCGAUUUAGUUUUAAUUUAUUUUUCUUCUUUAGUUUGGAUGUGUUUGUGGUUUUAAUUCUUUAGUUUAAUUUAUCCCAUUAGAUAAAGUUCCUUUUUUUAUUUAUUCCAAUUCGAUUUAGUUUUAAUUUAUCUUUUAUGUUUAGAUGUGUUUGUAGUUUUCUUUAAUUUAAUUGUUUUUAUUAUAAAAGUCCCUAUUUUUAAUUUUGAUCUAGUUCAAUUUUAAUAUAUUUUUUAUGUUUAGAUGUGUUUGUGAUAUUAAUUCAUCAGUUUAAUUAUUUCUAUUAGAAAAGUUUUGUUUUUAAUUUUGAUUUAGUUCACUGUUAAUCUACCUUUUAUGUUUAGUGUUUGUCGUUUUAAUUCGUUAGUUUAACUGUUCAUAUUAGAAAAGUUCUUAUUUUUAAUUUCAAUUUAGUUCAAUUUUAAUCUAUCUCAUAUAUUUGUGAUUUUAAUUCGUUAGUUUAAUUAUUCCUAUUAGUAAAGUUCUUAUUUUUAAUUUCAAUUUAGUUCGAUUUUAAUCUAUCCUAUAUGUUUUUGCGAUUUUAAUUCGUUAGUUUAAUUAUUCGUAUUAGAAAAGUUCUUAUUUUUAAUUUCAAUUUAGUUCAAUUUUAAUCUCUCCUAUAUGUUUAAAUGUGUUUGAGAUGUUAAUUCAUUAGUUUAAGUAUUCCUCAUAGAUAAAGUUCACAUUUUUAAAAUCCCAAAUUAGUUUAAAUUUUAAUUUAGCUGUUAGUUUAAAUAUGUUUGUGAUUUUAAUUCCUUAGUUUAAGUAAUUUAAGAGAUAAAGUUUAAUUUUAUUUUAUUUUUUUUUGGAUUAAUUUAGUUUUAGUUUAUAAUUUAAUUUGAAUGCGUUAAUGAUUUCAAUUCCUUAGUUUAAAUAAUUUGUGAGAUAAAGUUUACUUUCUUUAAUUUCAAAUUAACUUAGUUUUAGUUUAUGAUUUAAUUUGAAUGUGCAAGUGAUCCUAAUUAGUUUGAUUUUAAUUUGUUUUUAGUUUAAAUAAUCACGCUAAAUAAAGUUUGUGUUUUUAAUUCCAAUUACUUUAAUUUUAAUUCAUUUUUAACUUAAAGGCAUUCGUGGAUCUUAAUUCUUUAGUUUAAAUGAUUGUAUCAAGUAAAGUUUGAGUUUUUAAUAUUCCAAUAAUUUUAUUAAGUAGAAUUUAAUUUCAAUUCAGUUUGAUUUUAAUUUGUUUUAUAAUCCGAAGGUGUUCCUGAUUUUAAUUCAAUUGUUUGAUUAACCCUCUUAGACAAAUUCCAUAUUUUUAAUUUCGAUCUUAGUUUAAUUUUAUUUUGUUAAUUUAUUUAUUUGCUUUAGUUUAAAUAUAUUUGUGAUUUCAAUUUGAUAGUUUAGCCAAUCUUAUUAGAUGAUGAUGAUGUCCUUAAUUUAAUCUAGUAUUAAUUAUUUUUAGUAUUGAAUGUGUUUGUGUUUUUUAUUUCAUUAACUUUGAAUUUAAUCCAUUUAUAUCCAAUUUUGUAGUUGAUUAUAAUUUGGUUUAAUUAAUUAAGUCAAUCACGUGUAAUUAUUUUCAUGUUUUAAGUAUGGUAAUUUUGGCUUUGAUCUAUUGACAUUUAGUAUGAGCUUUAGGAAUUUUAGAUAAUUAAUCCAGUUAAUUGUAUGUCAUUGGUUUCAUACCUUCAAGAUUUUUGAACUUUGGUCUUUGAUUCAUCAUAUUUUGUUAAAAUGCUAAUUUACCUUAAUUAAUUCCAUAUUAUUAUCUCCAUAUGCUAAGUUUGUUGGCUUUAAUAUUUGAUUGGUUAUUUUUAUUUUAAUUCAUGUGCUUCUUGAAAUCUAAAUGUUAGUCUUGGGUAAUAUUUUGUUAGUUUGUUUUAUUAGGAAGUCAUAAAUUUGAUGCCUUAGUGAUUGUUAGUUAAAUUCUUAUUUUUUGAAGGCCACUGGAAACUCAUGAAGGUUGGUCUUACCCUCACCACUUUAAUUGACAUGAUUUUCUAAAUCUUUAUUUUGUGAUUUUCGCUUUCUUUUGUUUUGAUUGGUAUUUUGUUUUCUAUGUUUUAUUAUUUUAAAAAUUAAUUCCUUUUAUUUUAAAAUCAAAACCUUUUUCUCCGAAGACCCCUUUAAGAAAUUCUUUUUUUUUAAAAAAAAAAGAAGAAAAAAUUCAUUUAGAGUUGUUAGAAUAAAAAAACCCCAUUUUCUUAAAAUAAUAUGCAACCAUUUUUUGAUCGGUUUGCAUCUUUCUCCGUUUUUUAAUGAAAAUUUUGGUUUAAAAUCAGACACGAAUCCAAGCUUAUGGUCCCACAUAAAUGGGAUAAUUCCAGGUUAGAUUUGUGUAUAUCAAUCGGGGAAUUGGUGAAACCCCUACAUAAAAAAAAAAUAAUAAUAAAAAAAAAAUAAAAAAAUAAAAAAUCUUUUCAAAACUUAUUUUUGCUACCGUCUUUGUUGGUUGUUACAAUCAUAUCUAUUUUUUUUGGAAUUGUACAUAAGAUGUGUGUAAUAAUUGAUGAUUUCGUAUUCUUUGAUCAUUUUUGCUAUGCCAAUUAGUUAAGCAUGUUAGGGUUUCUUAUUUUACUAUUUAUUAUCUAAGCCCCCCCCCCCUCUCCUGCGGAAGCACACUAUGAGCUAUAUAUGCUAUCCAGGUACGUUCCCUAAUACCCACUUUCUAAACCCCGUGAACAUGAUUGUCAUUGCGUACUAUGCCCAUGCUUGCUAUCCUAUUUGAUUGCCUUGAUAUAUAUUUGAUGCUUGUUUGAUUAUCUUUGACAAAAACACAUGUUGUGAUAUAUUUCUAUAUUAACUUUUAUGUUUCAUGAUAUCACUUGAGAAGCCGUUCAGGUACGCACUUUGAUUCUCUCUUAUGAUCAGACUUUCUUAUUUGACAUGCUAUUUUUUGAAAUCACCUAGCCUACCUAGGUAUCCAUGAUCAACCAUUUAAUUGCCACGUUUCCCUCAACUUAGUCAGUAGAGACCUCUUUAGGGCUUAGAAGGGUGCUACCUCCUAGAGGUACCUUCCUAGUAAGUAACCUGAUUCCCGGACCUAGACUCGGUUUUUUCAAAGAGAUGAUUUUUCCAAAAAUUAUGGAGUCACAUUUUAGGAUUUUUCUUUCUUGUUUUAUUUUCCCUUUAAAAUAAAAAUAAAAUAAGUGGCGACUCCGACUUUUUCCAAAAUUAAUUUUUCACAAAUAGAAAAGCAAGUCUCACCGAUCGAGCCCGCAUGUGAAAAAUACGGGUCCACAAAUUGGCGACUCCACUAGGGAUUUUGAGGAUCAAGCUUGAACACUAAUUGAGAAAAAUGUGGCAUUUAAUUGGUUGAUUAGAGGGUACCCCUUUUUUAGGCAAGGUGAUCUGGUCUACUUGUUUGUUUAGAAUGAUAUCUUAACAUGUUUGAUUGCCUUGAAUGAUCACUUGAUUGCUUACUCACUUCAGCAUGAUUCACUCUCACAUAUGCUAGAUAGGACUUUGAUUGUUUGAUAUUUAUCUGCUUCGCAUGACUGCUUGUUGCAUAACAACCAUUUCUCUUGCGUGUUCGUAUGAUUGCUUGUCUUCAUUCACUAUCUCACUUUAGAUCUUAGGUUUUUCGGAUACACCCACAUCCUUCAUUGUGCACUUUAGAUUAUCCUUGAGUGUUGAGAGAUGGGAGAGCCUUCACCAUAAAGAAACCCCCUAGGGACGCGAGGAAGUGCAUGUGUGGAGGUGAUGACCACCUUGCAUGGAAGCACCCCGUCUCCUUGGAGGCGUGCAGAGGGUUGCGUACCACUGGAGGGUACGAUCGCUUCUGCUAGGGAUCCUUUAACCCACCCAUUUUAUCCUAUAGCCACCUCAACCUUGUAAGUUAACUUAGACCCAAUUAAGAUUUCAUUCCUACACGUGGGUGCAUCUGUGGACCUUCAGAGCUGCCUUGGUCAUGAUUGGGUUCGGUUAUCCCUUAUGUAGUCUCCUUUUGGUGUGAUCAGAGAUGAGUAUCAGAUUGAGUAUAUUUGGGCUUUACUUCUACGCACUUGUCAGUUGAUUCCUACAGAGUCACAUUCGUACCGCACCUUAUCCAGUGUUUCCAUAUUUGUAGGAGGGUUUACCUUGACCGAUCUGGAUUCACUUUUGUGGAUUAGAGUUGAAGGUAGAUUGACCAGAGUAUCAGACCAGUCAGAUUAGAGAUCAGAUCAGAGGGAUAUGGACUCACAGAUAGUUACCGUCGACCAGUUUGCCGCAGCCAUGGCUUCUAUCCAGGAGGCUAUAGCUAACCUUGGUCAGAGGAUAGAUGGACAACAGACCCAACAGGUCCCAAUUCAGGAGAAUGCCCAAUUCGAUACCACAGUACCGCCACCUCCUCCGCCCAGUUAGUCAGUACCAUAGGUUAUACCUUUCACUCUGCAUAGUCAGACCGAGGUUGCCCCGUUUCCUAUCACAUUGCCUAUCCCGACCUCAGAGGACCCACAUACACGUAUGGAUAAACUUGAGCAAAGGUUAAGACAGAUGAGGGCUUCAGACGGAGUUAUUACUUAGGAGGAUUUUGAUGGAGCACCGAUAGCCAGUUUGCUAGCCAAGUUUAGGAUGCCCGAGAUUGAGAGAUACACGGGCAUAGGCUAUCCUCACAUCCAUUUGAGGCUUUAUAGUACAGUUAUGAGGGCCCACGACUGGAUGAGGCCUAGAUGGUUAUGUUUUUCCCUAUGUCCCUGAGUGGUGCGGUACAGCGUUAGUUCGCUUCAUUGGAUGUAUCACACCGUAGGACUUGGGACGACUUGACCCGGGAGUUUUUGAGAUAGUUUGCAUUUAACACUAUCAUUGAUGUUUCGAGGAGAGAGUUAGAGGUUUUGAGAUAGAGGCUAGAGGAAUCAGUCACUUCAUUCAUCUCCCGCUGGAGGGAGAAGAUUUCACAGAUCAUUAAUCGUCCUUUAGAGAAGGAUCCGAUUAGCAUGAUCAUGAGGAGCUUGCAGCCUAAAUUUGCUAGACACUUGAUGAGAUUUCCCCACACGGAUUUUGGAUCUCUAGUACAGGGUUUGUAUGGUAUAGAGGAGGGCAUUGCUAGAGGAUUGUGGCCCGAGUCUUCCCAUACUGAUUCUAAGGGGAAGAAGCCUUUAGGAGGAUAGAGAUCAAGAGAUGUUGGUGCUAUCAGUUUAGCAGGGAUGAGACUUCCUAGACACUAUCAAACGGUUGGGCAAACUUUUGGAUUCUACUAACCACCAUCACCCCAUGUGUAGUAUAGGCCACCUGCUCCCUCCAGACCCAUUACUCCUACUUACCUACAUCCAGUCUCACAGCCUGCUUUUGUCACACAUGUUAUAGAGAGACCUCCUGCCCUAUACACCCGACCCCGAGCUCUGCAGACCACCACUUAUGUGUAGAGGCCAUCACAUUAGUUCGCUUAGUUAGGUAUGCCUUUGAGUCGAGCUUUUCAUAAGCUUAUAAAGGGUGGAUUAUUGACUCCAUUGGCACCCAAGCCAGUACCUCAGCCAGUACCGCCUCAUUUUAGAUUUGACCUACACUGUUCUUAUCAUCAGGGACCAGGACAUGACACGGAUCACUGCAACGCCUUGAGACAUGCUAUUCAGGAUUUGAUAGACCAGAGUUUAGUUAACUUGGGGCAGCCAAGUGUGACCACUAACCCUCUUCCUGCCCAUUCUACACACGCAGUGCUUCCAUCUCCAAGAGAUAUUCAUCACAUGGACCUUAUAGAGGAUGACAGUAUACAUAUGUUGAGUUGGGAUGAUGGGUUACCCGAGCAAAUUGUUUUGCAUGACAGUUAUGAGAUUGAUGGGGUUUCAUUGGGUUCUUAGGCCCCUACACCAUUCAGUUUGAUCCCAGACGAGGCACCAUUCCAGUUGACUCAUCCUACACCCUUGAUUAUUGGAUGUCAUGAUACUUUUGUCCCGUUCACUUUAUGGUCAGAGGAUGAUGAUUCGGAGGGAAGAGAGAUACAGAUUGUGACUUGUAAUGGAAAGAUAGCUCAGCUACUACCACUAGUAGUUAGACCAUUUGAGGGUGCAGCCUCUCAUGAGGAGGUUAGAAUAGAGGAUGAUGAAGUUUUGAGACAGCUACAGAGCACUCAGGCCCGUAUUUCUAUUUGGAGUUUAUUAACAUCAUCCAGUACUCAUAGAGAUGCUUUGAUUCGAGCCUUGAGUCAGAUCAGGGUAGAGACUACCACCACUCCAAAGAGAUUGAUUCAUAUGAUGAAGGCCGACAGGGCCACUUGCAUUGUGUUUUCAGAUGAUGACUUGCCACUUGAGGGUUCAGACCAUGUACGCCCUCUAUAUAUCACAGUUGGUUGUUCAAGCCAUAGAGUCCCAUCUGUCCUGCUGGACAAUGACUCAGCCCUGAAUGUCUGCCCUUUAGCCACUACUGUAACCCUUGGUUUUGCACCUUCAGAUUUUGGUCCUUUUGCUCAGACAGGCAGAGCAUAUGAUAGCACUAAGAGGGAGGUUGUGGGUACCUUGGUGAUUGAUUUGAAGAUUGGUCUAGCCACAUUCUCUACUUUGUUCUAGGUUUUGAGGAUUCCUACAUCCUUUAACCUGUUACUUGGUUGACUUUGGAUACAUAGAGCUGAAGCUAUCCCUACUUCCCUUCAUCAGAAGGUGAAGUUCAUUCAUAAUGGGCAGGUUGUCACAGUACAAUCUACCAGAGAUAUGUUAGCCUCUUCCGAGCCAGUACUUCAGAUUAGUCACAGUGAGGAUGACCUAUUUUUGACUCGAUUUACUUUUGAUGAAAUACAGACUCUCGAGAUUGAGGAUUUUCGUAAAGACUUUGUGGCUAUGUCAUUUGAUUAGCACAGUAGCAUAGUGGUUCUCGAUAUGAUGAGGGGUAUGACAUUUCUACCUAGUAUGGGGUUAGGACGACGCCAGUAGGGACCCAUCAAGUUUAUAGCUGCCAUUGAUCAUGAUACAACAUUUGGACUUGGGUUCAUUCCUACCGAGGUCGAUUACCGUUACAUGACGCGGCUGUGCAAGGAGAGGGUGAGGGCCUGUUUAUCCCACACACCAUUUGAUUAUCCUAUUCGACCCUAUAGGAUGAGUUUAGUCGACUACUUUGUCAGAGGACAAGAGAUUUGACCUCGUAUAGAGGAGAUUCACAGUAUGGUUCAUACAAAUAGAAAGAUUGAGCUUCAACAUCUAUUUCACCAGUUACAGUUGAGUAAUGGGGCUCCUGGCACUUCUGUUUCUAUAUCGAUUACUCCUACGUCUCCAGAUCGAGCUAGCAUGUGGUCUCUAUGCUUUCUAGAGGAGAUCACUGAUGAUGGAGUGAUUGUUGAUCCUACUGAGAUGAUUGAUGGAGUUGUGCCUCAUGAUGAGUACCGAGAUGAGAUGGACAUGAUGACCGUGAGCUAGAUUACCAGCAUUGUUUAGCUUAAGCCUGUUUCACCAUUUGAUAUGUUUGGGAUGUCUACCAUUGAGGUUCUUGAGAGGGCCUAGAUUAUUCCUGUUCCAGAGCUUCUAGAGGAUGAUAAUAGUUUGUUUGAGGGCUCUGUUAGCCCAGUUGAGGGAGCAUCCGACCUUAUGGACCCACCUCUUUCUUUUGAUGUUUUAUCGGGAUUUGUCUCCCGCUUUAACGAUGUUUUUGUUGCUUCAUUUAUGGAUUUGAGUAUUUUUUUAGUAUUCGCCUGCCUCUUGUGAUAGUACCUCUAUAUCUGCACCCCACUCACCCACUUCACAUAUAUUUGAUAUAGAUGAUGAGGUUGCACAACCCAAUCCAAAUAGGGACUCUUCUGAUCAUGACUCCGAUCUCGUGGAUGAGAAAGUUUCACCUGCUACAAGGGAUGUUGAGAAUGUUGAUUUUGGCAUAGAGGAUCAGCCUAGAGAGCUGAAGAUUGGUUCACCCCUAUCUACAAAUGAGAGAGAUAGACUUAUUCAUUUACUCAGGUCAUACUUGGAUGUCUUUGCAUGGUCUUAUGAGGACAUGCUUGGUCUUGAUCCCUCUAUAGUUCAACACCACUUACCUAUCCUACCACAUGCCAAACCAGUUAAGUAGAAAUUGAGACGAUUACAUCCACGUUGGAGUCUGCAGGUGAAAGAGGAGAUUCAGAAACAGCUCAGUGUUGGAUUCAUAUCAAUGGUUGAGUAUCCAGAGUGAUUGGCUAAUGUUGUCCCUGUUCCCAAAAAGGAUGGCAAAGUUAGAGUUUGUGUUGACUUUAGAGAUCUUAAUAAAACCAGCCCUAAAGAUGACUUUCCUCUCCCACACAUUGAUUUGUUGGUCGAUAGCACUGCAGGCCAUUCGCUGUUAUCUUUCAUGGAUGUGUUUUCAGGGUAUAAUCAGAUUUUGAUGACUCUAGAGGAUAUGGAGAAAACAACCUUUAUUACUGAGUGGGGUACCUACUGUUACAAGGUUAUGCCAUUUGGGUUAAAGAAUGAAGGAGCCACUUAUCAGAGGGUCGCUACUACUUUAUUUCAUGACAUGAUGCAUAGGGAUGUUGAAGUUUACGUGGAUGAUAUGAUUGUGAAAUCCCGAGGCAGAGUAGAUCACCUAGAGGCUCUAGAGAGAUUCUUUGAGAGGAUCCGAAAGUUUAGAUUGAGGUUAAAUCUUAAGAAGUGCACCUUCGGAGUGACUUCUGGGAAGUUAUUGGGACAUAUGGUUAGUGAGCGAGGCAUAGAGGUCAACCUAGAUAAAAUCAAAGCCAUACUUGACAUGCCUGCACCGAAGACUGAGAAAGAGAUUAGAGGUUUUCUGGGCAGAUUAUAGUACAUCAGUCGUUUCAUAGCCAGAUUGACAGACAUAUGUGAGCCUAUCUUUUGUCUUUUGAGGAAGAACCAACCAACAGUUUGGAGCGAUGAUUGCCAGCUUGCAUUUGAGAAGAUUAAAUAGUAUUUGCUUUCUCCUCCUGUUUUAUUGCCUCCUACGCCAGGACGUCCACUUCUUCUAUAUUUGUCAAUUUCAGACAUGGCCUUGGGAUGUAUGUUAGCUCAGAUUGAUGACUCAUGGAAUGAACGAGCUAUUUACUAUCUGAGUAAGAGGAUGCUGGAGUAUGAGAUGAAGUAUGUUAUGAUUGAGCGCCUAUGCUUAGCAUUAGUUUGGGCUACCAGGAGAUUGAGGCAUUACAUGACAGAGUACUCACUGCAUUUGAUAUCCUGUCUAGAUCCAUUGAGAUACUUAUUUGAUAGACCUGCAUUAACUGGUAGACUGAUGAGAUGGCUCGUGCUUUUGACAGAGUUCGAUAUCCAGUACGUUUCUCAGAAGUCUAUUAAGGGAAGUAUUGUCGCCGACCACCUAGCCUCACUAUCGACAUCUGAGGAUAGACCAGUUGAUGAUGAUUUUCCAAAUGAGGAGUUUGUUGCUAUGACUAGCUUAUCAGGAUGGUGCAUGUACUUCGAUGGUGCAGCCAAUUAAUCAGGGUAUGGGAUAGGUGUUCUGUUGGUAUCCCCUCAGAAUGAUCACAUUCCGAGGUCUGUUCGUUUGACAUUCUCUUAUCGACAUUCUAUCACGAAUAAUAUAGUUGAGUAUGAGGCUUGUAUCCUUGGUUUAGAGACUGCGUUGGAGCUUGACAUUAAACAGAUAGAGGUAUUUGGUGACUCCAAUCUGGUACUUAGACAAAUUCAGGGAGACUGGAAGACUAGGGACGUAAAGCUUAGGCCGUAUCACGCUUAUUUGGAGUUACUGAUUACGAGAUUUGAUGACUUGAGAUAUGUUCAUCUGCCCAGAGCGCAGAACCGAUUUGCCGAUGCCUUAGCUACCCUAACUUCUUCUAUGGACAUUCCGAUUGAUGUAGUUGUACGUCCAUUGCUGAUUGAGUUGAGAUUUGCACCUACCUACUAUUGUUUGAUUGGAGAAACAGAGGUCCAGGAUGAUCUACCUUGGUAUCAUGACAUUUAUCAGUUUCUUAGAUUUGGCACAUACCCUGAGGUAGCCACUGCCAAGGAUCAGAGAGCACUGAGGCAUUUGCCUAUUAGAUUUGUGAUUUGUGGAGAUACUUUAUAUAGGCGAUCAGCUGAUGGUAUGCUUCUAUUAUGUUUAGAUUGAGCCUCUAUAGAUCGAGUGAUGAGAGAAGUUCAUGCAGGAGUUUGUGGUCCACAUAUGGGAGGACACAUGCUGGCUAGUAAAAUUAUGAGGAUAGGUUAUUUCUGGUUGACUAUGGAGACAGAUUGUUGUCAGUUUGUUUAGAAAUGCCCAGAGUGUUAGAUUCAUGGUGAUCUCAUUCAUGCACCGCCAUCAGAGUUACACACUUUGACCUCGCCAUGGCCAUUUUCAGUAUGGGGUAUUGAUAUUAUUGGGAAGGUUUCACCAAAAUCUUCAUGUGGUCAUGAGUUCAUCCUAGUUGCCAUAGAUUAUUUCACCAAGUGGGUGGAAACCGCAUCAUAUGCGAGGUUGACAUUUGCUAGGGUUGCCAGUUUCAUCAAGUUACACAUCAUUUGUCGUUAUGGGGUUCCCCAUGAGUUGAUUUCAAAUAGAGGGGUGCACUUCCAAGCUGAGGUAGAUACUUUGUUACAGAAGUAUGGCAUCCGACAUCAUAGAUCUUCAGCAUAUAGGCCACAGACCAACAAGGCAAUAGAGGCUGCGAAUAAGAAUAUUAAGAGGAUUUUGAGGAAAAUGGUUGAAACUUCUCGAGAUUGGUCAAAGAAACUCCCUUUUGCAUUGUGGGCAUACUGUACCUCUUUUCGCAGCUCUACAGGAGCUACACCUUACUCGCUAAUGUAUGGUAUGAAGGUUGUUUUGCCGGUUGAGACAGAGAUGGGUUCUUUGAGAGUAAUCCUUAAGCAGCAGAUUUCUGAGACAGAGUGGGUUUAGGCUCGGUUUGACCAGCUUAACCUUUUAGAUGAGAAGAGAUUGAGAGCAACCAAUCAUGUUCAGGCCUAUCAGAGGAAGAUGGCUCGUGCCUUCAGGAAACGGGUUAAGCCUAGACCAUUACAAAAAUGGGAUUUAGUUUUAAGGAUUCUCAGAGGUUUGAUUGGAGACCUUAGAGGAAGUUUAGACCUAGUUGGAGUGGGCCUUAUGUUAUUUGAGAGUUGACUCCAGAAGGGGCUGCAUGGUUGACUGACUUAGAUGAAAACCAGUUUUCAAAGCCUACCAAUGUGGAUCAACUGAAGAAGUAUUAUGUUUGAGAUUAGGGUCGCAGGAUGGAUGGCCAUCAUUUCAGUCAGCCUUACACCUUAUCACAUUUAUUAAUGUAUUAAACCGUUGCUAGCCUAUUGAACCCCACAUGGUAUGUUAUAGCCUUAUUUCUUUCUUAUAGCCUUAAUUACCAUUUCUAUACCCUGGUUAGGGCCCUUUGAUGUUUAUGCAUGCUUUGCUAGGAAAGUCUCAUGAGUUUUAGACUUAUAGGCCUAUUUUCUCAUUCUUGUUACCAUCCCCUUAUCACCCCCGUUUGUUCUAUUUUACUAUCAUCACAUUUUCAUUAUCUUAUUGUGUUUAUCAUUAUUUGCUUCAUCUUAUCUCUUCUCUUUCUUGGGUUGAUGAUUCUUCACAUCUUGGUGCAAAAGAGGGCAGUCAUAUCACUCCAUCCAUCCCAUCAAUUGGCAUCGAUUCAGAGAUUUUAGUUUGAGAGGUUGUCUCAUGGGUUGGGGUUCAUGUAUUCAUCAGUGGUUUGAGAGAGUUUGUUCACUCCUUGUAUCUUUCCCAUUGGAGUCCGAUUUAUUGAUGAUCAGAAGAUGCACAUUCAAAAAAAAAAAAAAAAACGCAAUGACAUGUUUGUGUAUGGUAUCUUGCUCCAUUGGGCACUUAUAUCACCUUUUGAGGUUUAUUUACUAGGUAUAUUAGUCAUUGUGGGUUCUUGUGAGAUUUUUAUACGAGUUUUCACUCCUUGAGCCACUCUUGUUAUGCAUUUGGAGUGUUGGGGGUUCAUGUGAGGGUUCUAUGGUAUCCUAUGCUUCUUGGGUCAUGGUAGAUAUGUGUUAGGUAUGAGAGAUGAGUGACCUUUUACUAGGGUCUCCAGAUCAUUGUCUUAUCCACUAUUACAUCGUUGGUUAUAUGACUUUGCUUUAUUGUACUGAUAUGGAUUGAUCAUCAUUCAUUCCCCUUUCUUAUUGCCUUACUUUGUAUCUCCUUACCCAUUUCCAGAUCUUCAUUCCACUUUUUAUCCAUUUCCUACAUAUUGAUACACGUUUUUUGAUUCGAUACCUUAUUCACAUCAUUUACAUGUUUCAUUGAUGGUUUGACCACUCAUCCUUUCUCUCAUUUCGCCCUUGACAUUUCCUUUGGUUACCUUUAGGUCCAUGGCUCAUGAGGUUUUUUUCUAUGCAUUACAUCUUAUACACGAGAGUAUGGGUUUGAUCAUUGGGUAUUUGAGCCUAGUUUCCCUUCAUUUCUUUCAUCCUAUCACCUUGACCUACGUUAUGUCUCGUGUCUUAAGACCACCCUGAGGCCAUGAGAUCAGGCGUUAUCUUUGACAGUCUUCACUUGGACAGGCUUUUGUAGACUGGUUGAAGUAUAGUCGUUACCAUGUUCUCUUUUAUGGAAGAUACUUUUGGAAGAAUUUGGUCUCUCUCUUGCUUGACAUAUUGAUGUUUGAUGGAUUUUUGAGUUUGAAGACAAUUCAUUGAUGAUAUCGGAUUUAUCCUUUUGUCGACAUCAGAUAUCCAUACUGGGGCAUAUUCCCCUUUCAUUCGGUUGAGAUGAGCCCCUAGUGGAGCACUUUCUUUGAGUUUGGGCUUAUUUUCACUGAUUCGAGAUUCCUAAUAGAGUAUGUUGAGAUGAUAUCAGUUAUAGUGGAGCAUUAUUGAGCUUAUUGACAGUUUUUAUGAUUCUAGGUUCCAUUUGCGGAGUAUUUUUGAGAUAGACUAGUGGAUCAUUUUUAAGUUGGAGGCAAUUUUCAGUGCAGUGUAUAGAUCUUAUAUAUUGGGGUAUAUUUUCCCAUUUUGAGGUCACCAGAUUCCCAUCAGAUUUAGUUAGGGAUUCAUCAGAGAAGUGCUUCUACUCUCGAGAUUAUCAUAUUCCUUAUCAUUUUGGUUAUUCAUUUGAGAUCAGAUUUAAAGUGUCUUCCUUGAGCCAUCGGCUGAUACUUCAUUCUGAUUUCUUAGCGGAUUAUUGUUGAGUUGGAGACAGUUGAUUGAUGAUGUUAGAUUCAUCAUUUUGAUUGUGCAUCAGAUAUCCACACUAGGGCAUAUUUCCCCUUUUCUUUGAGGUUUCUAGUUGUUGUUGGAUGAUAUGACUAUUCCUAUCCAUGGUUAUAGAGAUGUUUGAUUGAUUUUGACGGAUUCUUUAUUGUACAUCAGAUAUCCAUACUGGGGCAUAUUCCCCUUUCCAUGAUGAGAUUAUGUUCGGGCAGCAGUACAUAGAUGGAUGAUCAUUGUUGGUUGUUUAUCUCAUAACUUCGACAUCAUAUAUCCAUACUGGGGCAUAUUCCUCUCUCCUUUACGAGAUUUGUUUGGGUAGUGGUAUGAGGAUGGAUGAUUAGUGUCGGUUGUUUACCUCAUGACUUUGAUAUCAAAUCUUAUACUGGGGCAUAUUUCCCCAUUUUCUUUUAGUAUCCUUGAGAUUGAGACAGUGGCCAGCUUAGUUUUAGAUUGAGUGCCAGUCUGGAGUUUCCGACGAUUGACUUCAUUAGGACCCCCCUAUAAGGAUUUGUUGAGAUAGAGAUGGAUCAUAUCGGGUUUUACCCGAGGAGCAUGGGUGGAUCCUUUAGCCAAAUGUUCAUAGGAUAGAUUUGUUUUCGUCAUUGUUACCUUGAAGAUUGGAUUACCCAGAUGAGCAGUAUUUUGUGCACUUUGAGAUUUGUUUUUAGAUAAGCCACAAUAUACACACUUUGAGAUUUACCUUUUGAGAUCCGUCGACAGAGCAGCUUUUCAGACACAGAGAGAGUUCUUUCAGUUUAGACUUUUCAGAGGUUUGUCAUGAUACAUCGGUUUCUGACCUAUUGAUUUCAACGGAUGAUUGAUUUACUGGUUGUUUCAACACUGCAAGCACCCUAGAUACUGGGGCAUAUUUCCCUUCUUGAGUUCAGUAGUCCAACUCUUGGCAUUUUGAGUGUAUGGUUUUGAGCCUAUUUAUUUCCUAUCCACUUUCGAGUUAGUCUUAUUUAUCUGUUGCUUCUAGACCCUGAGUCUUACAGCCCUGAGCUAUCCACUCCUUCUACGCCCUGAGCCUCGUAACCCUGAGCUAUCAUUUUCCUCUUAGUCCUUGAGCCUCAUAGCCUUGAGCUAUCCAUUCCUUCUAGGCCCUAAGUCUCAUAGCCCUAAGCCAUCCUUCUCCUCUUAGGCCCUGAGCUUCGUAGCCUUGAGCUAUCCUUUUCCUCUUAGGCCCUGAGCCUCGUAGCCCUGAACUAUCACUUCUUAUUUAAGACCCAGAGUCUUUCCAGCCCUGAGCUAAGCCUGCAUCAUUUGGUCGCCCAUGAGUGGUAUGACCUGGAGUUUGCGUAUCGCACUCUCUUUCUAGUUGAUCAGUCAUAGAGCUCCGAGCUCAUGGCCCUGAGCUAUUCGUUGUAACCCUGAGUUACUCAUUGCAUCAUGACCCAGAGUCAUUCAUUCCAUCCAUAGCCUUGAGCUAUUCAUUGUAACCCUGAGUUACUCAUUGCACCAUGACCUAGAGUCAUUCAUGACAUCUUGAGCCUUGAGCUCACGACCCAGAGUCAUUUGCAUCCUUCACAUCCCUGAGAUGUUUCGUUUCAUCAUUCUAGCCAAUUGUGAGUGGCCUCGACCCGGCACCAUGAGCCGAAAAGCAUCCUGAUCGGCUAUCCGUUUAGAGCCCUGAGUUCUCGACCUAGAGUCGAUUUUCAUUUAUGACCUAGAGUAAUUUCUUUCCAUUUAGAGCCCUGGGCUCAUGACCUGGAGUCAUUCACUCCAUCUAUGACCCAUAGUCAUUCUUAGCAUUUAUAGCCCUGAGCUCGCAACCCAGAGUCGUUUAUCCUAUUCAUGACCCAGAGUCAUUUAUCCUAUUUCCGACCAUGAGUCAUUUAUCCUAUUUUUGACCUAGAGUCGUUCAUCCUAUCCAUGACCUAGAGUCAUUCAUCUCAUCCAUGACUUUGAGUCAUCAUUUUCAUAUAUUUCCAUCUUUGUGCUACUUGUCACAUACCUUUAUCUCUUUACUGUCAUUCUCCCCACAUAGAGUAGUUUCAUCCUUGUCGUUGAAGCCUUGUGUUCCAACCUUUCUCUCGCCAUGUGCUAAGACAAAAUCUCUGGUCCUUCUUUAGUUCUUCGGUAUAGUUCACUUUGUUCCAUUCAUUAUUCGUAUUUUUACUCACAUUCAUUACACUCGCAAUCUAUACCGAAGAGGGGCAUAUUUGUAUACCCUCAAUUUUGUCCCUUUAGCACAUGUCUUUAAGUUCACUUUCAAUGUUCCACAGUAGUUCUUUGGUGGCCCAUAACUACUCAUACUACUUACCUUUUUUGAGCCACCUCAGAGACUUUGUUGAGGGAUUUAUCUAACCUCAUUGUGACUCUUGGCAGCCCUAAUUUAGACUUAGGCCCACUUAGGCACCCUAGACCCAUUUAGAUACACUUGGCCCAUUAGGCAUCACCUUAGGCCCAUUUAGAUGCACUUGACACCUUCUAGCUUGCACACAUUCACCCUAGGUCACUUAGACAAUCUUUCAGAAUAGGUCACUUGGACACUUCUUUUGGAAUAGUUCACUUAGGCAUGUGCUUGAUUUUGGUUACUUAUUUUUCAGGAUAAGAUGAGUGUUGGCUUGACUUUUUAUUACAUGAAAUGAAUUUUUUAUUCUAUCUUUAUUUUAUUUUUAUUUUUAUUUUUGAAGGUUUGAGUUUGACAUUUAAAUUAUUAUAAUCCGUUGCAUUACUUUAAUUUCUUGAUUUUUUUUAAUUGCAUACGUCUGAUAUUUAUUUUUAUACCCUUACCAAUUUAUUUGUUUAUUUACUCACUUAUUCAUUUAUUCCUUAAUUCCAUGAAUUGACAUUUUGGAUUUUUGUGGCUAUGUGAUUUGAUUUUCUAUUUUAUUUUAUUUUAUUUCCAAUUACAUGAUUUCUUAUUUCAACUUUAUUUUUAAUUUUGCAUGAGACUUGGAGCCAUCAAGGAAAGGAAAUCACGGCCAAAUAGGGAAACUUGGAAGGAAUUCGGGCUGCAUAUUAUUUGCUUGAAGAAAGAAUCCGAGCUGCAUAUAGAAAGUGGGCAGAUCAUGGCUGAGGAACAUCCGGGAGCAUAUGGAAAGAAGAUUAAAGGGGAUCUGAUCACUUACCAAACAAGAUACGACUGCAUCGUUGGGGAAAUCUCCAAGUGAGCCACACAUAAUGGACUUCCCAUAUCCACGCACACGUAGGAAAAAAUGGAAAUAAGAUAUUCCAUAAAGAGUGGGUUGCCUUAUAAAUAAAGGAGAGAAUCCAAGCAUAAGAGGAAUUUUUUUUUCGAAGGGGAAUAGGCGGAAAGAAUUUUCACAUGGAGACUUUUCUUUUGGAGGGCAGAGAGGACACGAGAGCAAUUCUUUUGAGAUGACUCGCGAAGAACUUUGAAGAGCCGACACAUAACCAUAAAAGAGGGAGGAACAACCCACAAAAUCUUCACAAAUAACGGUUUAUAGGUAAGUGUACGCUUUCAAAUUUAUCUUUGAUUUCGUUUUGAUUCAUCCUUUUAGUCUUGAGUGUUUUAAUGAUUUUAGUUCUUUGAUUUAAUUAAUCCUAUCUAAUAAAUUUCUUGUUUUAAUUUCGAUUUAGUUUUAAUUUAUUUUUCUUUUUUAGUUUGGAUGUGUUUGUGGUUUUAAUUCUUUAGUUUAAUUUAUCCCAUUAGAUAAAGUUCCCUUUUUUUUUAUUCCAAUUCGAUUUAGUUUUAAUUUAUCUUUUAUGUUUAGAUGUGUUUGUAGUUUUCUUUAAUUUAAUUGUUUCUAUUAUAAAAGUCCCUAUUUUUAAUUUUGAUCUAGUUCAAUUUUAAUAUAUUUUUUAUGCUUAGAUGUGUUUGUGAUAUUAAUUUGUCAGUUUAAUUAUUUCUAUUAGAAAAGUUUUGUUUUUAAUUUUGAUUUAGUUCACUGUUAAUCUACCUUUUAUGUUUAGUGUUUGUCGUUUUAAUUCGUUAGUUUAACUGUUCAUAUUAGAAAAGUUCUUAUUUUUAAUUUCAAUUUAGUUCAAUUUUAAUCUAUCUCAUAUAUUUGUGAUUUUAAUUCGUUAGUUUAAUUAUUCCUAUUAGUAAAGUUCUUAUUUUUAAUUUCAAUUUAGUUCGAUUUUAAUCUAUCCUAUAUGUUUUUGCGAUUUUAAUUCGUUAGUUUAAUUAUUCGUAUUAGAAAAGUUCUUAUUUUUAAUUUCAAUUUUAAUCUCUCUUAUAUGUUUAAAUGUGUUUGAGAUGUUAAUUAUUAGUUUAAGUAUUCCUCAUAGAUAAAGUUCACAUUUUUAAAAUCCCAAAUUAGUUUAAAUUUUAAUUUAGCUGUUAGUUUAAAUAUGUUUGUGAUUUUAAUUCCUUAGUUUAAGUAAUUUAAGAGAUAAAGUUUAAUUUUAUUUUAUUUUUUUGGAUUAAUUUAGUUUUAGUUUAUAAUUUAAUUUGAAUGCGUUAAUGAUUUCAAUUCCUUAGUUUAAAUAAUUUGUGAGAUAAAGUUUACUUUCUUUAAUUUCAAAUUAACUUAGUUUUAGUUUAUGAUUUAAUUUGAAUGUGUUAGUGAUCCUAAUUAGUUUGAUUUUAAUUCGUUUUUAGUUUAAAUAAUCACGCUAAAUAAAGUUUGUAUUUUUAAUUCCAAUUACUUUAAUUUUAAUUCGUUUUUAACUUAAAAGCAUUCGUGGAUCUUAAUUCUUUAGUUUAAAUGAUUGUAUUAAGUAAAGUUUGAGUUUUUAAUAUUCCAAUAACUUUAUUAAGUAGAAUUUAAUUUCAAUUCAGUUUGAUUUUAAUUUGUUUUAUAAUCUGAACGUGUUCAUGAUUUUAAUUCAAUUGUUUGAUUAACCCUCUUUAACAAAUUCCAUAUUUUUAAUUUCGAUCUUAGUUUAAUUUUAUUUUGUUAAUUUAUUUAUUUGCUUUAGUUUAAAUAUAUUUGUGAUUUCAAUUUGAUAGUUUAGCCAAUCUUAUUAGAUGAUGAUGUCCUUAAUUUAAUCUAGUAUUAAUUAUUUUUAGUAUUGAAUGUGUUUGUGUUUUUUAUUUCAUUAACUUUGAAUUUAAUCCGUUUAUAUCCAAUUUUGCAAUUGAUUAUAAUUUUGUUUAAUUAAUUCAGUCAAUCACGUGUAAUUAUUUUCAUGUUUUAAGUAUGGUAAUUUUGGCUUUGAUCUAUUGACAUUUAGUAUGAGCUUUAGGAAUUUUAGAUAAUUAAUCCAGUUAAUUGUAUGUCAUUGGUUUCAUACCUUCAAGAUUUUUGAACUUUGGUAUUUGAUUCAUCAUAUUUUGUUAAAAUGCUAAUUUACCUUAAUUGAUUCCAUAUUAUUAUCUCCAUAUGCUAAGUUUGUUGGCUUUAAUAUUUGAUUGGUUAUUUUUAUUUUAAUUCAUGUGCUUCUUGAAAUCUAAAUGUUAGUCUUUGGUAAUAUUUUGUUAGUUUGUUUUAUUAGGAAAUUAUAAAUUUGAUGUCUUAGUGAUUGUUAGUUAAAUUCUUAUUUUUUGAAGGCCAUUGGAAACUCAUGAAAGUUGGUCUUACCCUCACCACUUUAAUUGACAUGAUUUUCUAAAUCUUUAUUUUGUGAUUUUCGCUUUCUUUUGUUUUGAUUGGUAUUUGGUUUUCUUUGUUUUAUUAUUUUAAAAAUUAAUUCCUUUUAUUUUAAAAUCAAAACCUUUUUCUCCGAAGACCCCUUUAAGAAAUUCUUUUUUUUUUAAAAAAAAAAAUCAUUUAGAGUCCUUAGAAUAAAAAAACCCCAUUUUCUUAAAAUAAUAUGCAACCAUUUUUUGAUCGAUUUCCAUCUUUCUCGGUUUUUUAAUGAAAAUUUUGGUUUAAAAUCAAACACAAAUCCAAGCUUAUGGUCCCACAUAAAUGGGAUAAUUUCAGGUUAGAUUUGUGUAUAUCAAUUGGGGAAUUGGUGAAACCCCUACAUAAAAAAAAUAAAAAAUAAAUAAAAAAUCUUUUCAAAACUUAUUUUUGCUACCGCCUUUGUUGGUUGUUACAUUCAUAUCUUUUUUUUUGGAAUUGUACAUAAGAUGUGUGUAAUAAUUGAUGAUUUCGUAUUCUUUGAUCAUUUUUGCUAUGAGCUAUAUAUGCUAUCCAGGUAUGUUCCCUAAUACCCACUUUCUAAACCCCGUGAACAUGAUUGUCAUUGUGUACUAUGCCCAUGCUUGCUAUCCUAUUUGAUUGCCUUGAUAUAUAUUUGAUGCUUUUUUUUUAUUAUCUUUGACAAAAACACAUGUUGUGAUAUAUUUUUAUACUAACUUUUAUGUUUCAUGAUAGCGCUUGAGAAGCCGUUUAGGUACGCACUUUGAUUCUCUCUUAUGAUCAGACUUUCUUAUUUGGCAUGCUAUUUUUUGAAAUCACCUAGCCUACCUAGGUAUCCAUGAUCAACCAUUUAAUUGUCACGUUUCCCUCAACUUAAUUAGUAGAGACCUCUUUAGGGCUUAGAGGGGUGCUACCUCCUAGAGGUAUCUUCCUAGUAAGUAACCUAAUCCCCGGACCUAGACUCGGUUUUUUCAAAGAGAUGCUUUUUUCAAAAAUUAUGGAGUCACAUUUUAGGGUUUUUCUUUCUUGUUUUAUUUUCCCUUUAAAAUAAAAAUAAAAUAAUGGCGACUCCGACUUUUUCCAAAAUUAAUUUUUCACAAAUAGAAAAGCAAGUCUCUCCGAUCGAAUGAGGGCGCAUGUGAAAAAUGCGGGUCCAUAGAUAGGCCUCUCAUUUCUAAUGUAUGCAAGUUUUAACUGUAUACCAUGGUAAAUUAGAUGAGAAACUAUAGUAAAUUGGAUGAAAGAUUAACCCGACGUGAUUUCUUUGUCAAUUUGGAAGGAUGGUGUAAUUUUAGGAAAUGACAAGCUUGCACAUAAUUAUAAUUAUAUUUUGAUGAACGAGACAAUUGUUUAAUGUUCUAUCUUGGUGUUUGGCAUUCAACAAAUUAUGUUCAUAUUUAAUUAAAAAGUUUAAUGUAACCUUGUAAAUGCAUAGUUUAUACUCACAUUGUUUAGAUCAUAUCUGGAAAGUUGAAAAAAAAAAUGGGACUCCAUUACAUAUCUCAUUAAUAAAUAUGUAUGAAUUACUUAUUAAAAAUAGAAAUAGGUCAUCCAUGCCAUGAGAAGUCAUGCCUCCAAAAGCAAAAAGCAAAAAACAAGUUCUUACAAUUCAACUUUUUUGGCAUCCAUGAUGAGUUUAUCAACCUAACUAUUACCCACCAACUAAUAAUAAUUGUAGCAUUAAUGCGAGUCAACUAACAAUCCUUCUUCCAUUUACCUCUAUCUUGGAAUUUGAUCUAUUAAAUUUUCUUCCUUUUACCUCUAUCUUGGUAUUUGACAUGUUAAAAUUGGACCUUCACUCCAUGUUAUAUACGAGCAUAGUUUUUAAGUAGAAAUAGGUAUAGUUGCUAUGCUACUAAAUUUUAUAUUUGGAAAUUGGAAAUAUUAAAAAUGUUUUAAUUGAAAAUAAAUAUAAUUUUAAUAUUUUCAAAUAUUUUAAUGAAAUAAAAUUAAUUUGGUGUCCCAUUUUUUUUUUUCAGGAUCAAUAAAGUGUGAACCCCAUAUUUAAGAAUCCUACGUAACUAUGUUUAGAAUUUGUAAAUGACAUAUAAACAUUCAUUGACCUAAAAACUCUCCUUGAGAGGUUUAAUUAAUAUAUACUGGAAAUUUCCACCCAAAAAACAUAGCACAAUACCUUGUUUGAGGUAAAUUUAGUGGAAUGCAUUAUGGGAAUUGCUCAAUAGUUAAAAAUGAGGGUGUGCUUGUUAAACUCAAAAGAUUAAAUACGUGGUCAACGUGAGAACUGAUACCAAUUUUUCAGACGAUACAACAACCCAACUGUCAAUUCAUAAAUUUUAUAUAAAUGAGGAGACAUACUGCUCCUUGGACCAAGGUAGAUUUUGUUUUUGAGUCUACGUUAUUUUCUCCAAAAAAAAUAUUAUAACUAUAAAAUUGUUUUCUAUUUUUUAUUGUUAAAAACAAAAAAACAUAUAUUUUCAGAUAAUAUCUUUUAAUAAUUUUUCAUUAUUUUUGCAUAUUUUUUUAAUGUAGUUUUGAAAAAUAAUUAUACAAACAUGGAAAAUAAUUAAAAAUAAAAUACUAGAUAUACAAAUUAUUUUAAAAAUAGGUUAAAUAUAAUUCAGGUUCCUAAAGAGAAUUUUGUUUUAUAAAACACUAUAAAAUAGUUUUUAAAAACUAUUUUUUACAAUUGUUUUAAAAAACAAUUACCAAUUACCAAAUAGGGCCCUAAAAAUAGAGAUGUGUCAAUAUUAACUAACAAGCUAGAAAGAGAGAUGUGUUAAUAUUAUAAUUAACCAUUAUAGGCAAACAUUGAAGUCAUUCUAUCAUAUCCAAAAUUGGCACCAUAAUUUUCCAUUUUCAACUUAUUUUCUUUUUACCGAUGUAACUAUGUGGAAAUUUCUUGUUUUAUUAAUUCAAUAUGCAUGAGAUAUUUCAAUGGUCCAUCCGUCUAAUUAAUGGUUGGAAACCGAUAGAAAUAUGAAACAACUUUUUCAUAUUGUUAAGAAUCUUUUAAAAUGUCUUUCUUUUGUCACUUCAAAUGAUUGGGUUCAUUAAUCUUAACCAUUCAUUCAAUGCUUGAGUUUGCAUCCACUGCUCACAUCCCUAUCCACCAUUAUACAUAUUGAUAUAUUUAUUAUUUUUGUUUUUAUUUCUAAGAUUAACAACUUUGGAACAUAAAAUGAUUAGGGAGUAGAGCAUGAAUGCAAGAACAACUUUUGAACUUAAACAUUAAGAUUGAAAUGGUCUAAAUCAGAUCAAGUGAUUUACUUGUGUGUUGGGUGUAUCCCAGAAGCCCACAUCAAAUGGAAAAUCACCCUCACCUCCCUGGAUUUGUUCAAUCAUACCAUCCAUGGGUCCCUUUUUCUGUGUUGCAGUUUCUUCUGUCCUGAGGCUUGCGAUAAGCAUCUCUCCAGAAGCCGAAAAGUCAGUUUCUUGAUCCAUUUGAGCAUGCUCAGCUAACAGGCUUUCCCACCAUAUGAUGUCAUCAUUCGGUUGUGGUGAAGUGGAUGAUGGCUUCCUGGAAGUACUGACUUGUGUGUCAAAAGUAUCCACAGCUGUAGUUUUUAGUUCAAACCUUGGCAAG